AGGAAAGAGGGCUUGUGGAACAAUGGCUGGAAGUUGAAGCACACAACUUCCACCCACCUAGCUACAAUAUGGUCCUUCACAUUCUCUUUGCCUCAGUUUUGGGCUUUCCUUCAGACCCUAAGAUCAUACAAGAAAGUGAAGAAAAGUUGGGAAGAGUGUUGGACAUUUACGAGGAGCGGCUGUCGAAGAGUAAGUACUUGGCUGGUGAUUUCUUUAGCCUUGCUGAUUUUAGCCACCUUCCGCUCACUCAAUUCUUGGUGGCUAAUAUGGGGAAGGAGUAUAUGAUCAAGGACAGAAAGCAUGUCUCUGCAUUGUGGGAUGACAUUAGCAACAUACCAUCUUGGAAGAGGGUCCUCCAGUUUGGUUCCCCAUUUUAAGGUCGAUGUACCUUUGGAAGAAAAUGUAUGUACAUUGGGUGUACACAAUGGUUUUUCUUGUACUGAUAAUGUGCUGUGUAUGAAAAGUUAUUGUGAAAAGAAGGUUUUACUCUCUCGUACUUUAUAUAAACUUUUGUACCCUGGGGUUUUUUAAGAAUAGAAUGGCAGUUUGAAUAAUCUUCUGUAUUGAUUCAUUAAAAUAUACAAGCUAGGCUAGAGUUCUUAUACAAACUGUAAAGAUACAAUCACAUCCUGUAAUUCCUACAAAUAAGCUAAGUAAAUAUAUUUACAAAAGGAAAGAAUAAAUCGUUGAUAGUCAAUGAUCACCAUGCUACCAAAUGGGAAGGAAAUCAUUCAUAUCAUAACACUCCCCCUCAAGUUGGCAAGUGAAUGUCAAAAACCGCUAACUUGCUCAGCAAAAAAUGGAAUUGUUCUUUUCCUAAAGGCUUCGUGAAUAUGUCAGCAACUUGCCUUGAAGAUGGAACAAAUUUGGUGACUACCUUUCCUUGAAUUUUAUCUCGAACAAAAUGACAGUCAAUCUCUAUAUGGCGUGUCCGCUCAUGAAAAACAGGAUUAGCGGCAAUGUGAAAAGCCGCUUGGUUAUCACAGUGUAAAACAGCAGCGCCCAUAUCUUUAAUACGUAAAUCACAUAAAAGACUUUGUAACCAGGUGAGCUCACAACAGGUAGCAGCCAUUAAACGGUACCCUGCUUCUGUAGUAGAUAAUGAGACAGUCUUCUGCUUUUUGCUUUUCCAUGAAAUUAAAGAAUCUCCAAGGAAAACACAAUAUCCGGUAGUAGAACGUCGAAUCACCGAACACCCUGCCCAAUCGGCAUAAAAAAAAGCCUUCAAUUGUAACAAACUUUGUGAGGAAAACAAAAUACCUUGACCUGGAGUGUCCUUCAAAUAUCUCAAAACACGUAAAGCUGCAUCAUAGUGAGGCUUGCGAGGAUGUUGCAUGAAACGACUCAACGUGUUCACUGCAAAAGUAAUAUCGGGUCUACUGAUAGUUAAAUAUAUCAAACGUCCUAUUAAUCUUUGAUAGAUGGACAUAUCGUGAAGUAAAUCUCCUUCAUUAGGAAGUAGCUUCAGAUUUUGUUCCAUGGGGAAGCUAGCUGAUCGUGCUCCCAAAAGACCCAAAUCUUUCAAAAUGUCCAAUAAAUAUUUUCUUUGAGAAAUAAAGAUCCCCUUUUUUGAACGAGCAAUCUCUAUUCCUAAAAAAAUAUUUAAGGGCUCCUAAAUCUUUGAUGCAGAAGCGUUUAUUCAGAAAAGAUUUAAGAGAACCAAUAGCCGUCAUGUCAUUACCAGUGAUCAAGAUAUCAUCAUCGUAAAUAAGGAGAGCUGUGAACGAUUUGCCAACUUUUCUUGUAAAAAGGGAAUAAUUGGCUUUGGACUAUGUAUACCCAGCUGCACAAAUAGCCUCAGAAAACUUAAAAAACCACUGCCGAGAAGCCUGCUUUAAUCCAUACAAAGACUUGUGAAGACGACAUACUAAAUGCUCCCCCUGUCGCCGAAGACCAUGAAGUGGAACCAUAUAUAUUUCCUCAUAGAGAUCACCAUGUAGGAAGGUGUUGUGGACAUCCAUUUGAUGUAGGGACCAGCCACUAGCAGCUGCAAUAGCAAGCAGACAACGAAACGUAACCAACGUUGCAGUCGGGGAAAACAUAUCCUGGUAAUCAACACCUUCAAUUUGAGUGUAACCCUUGGCCACUAAACGAGCUUUGUAACGCUCAAUAGUGCCAUUGGACUUGUGCUUGAUUUUGUAUACCUAACGACAACCAAUAGGGGCCUUGCCAGGUGGAAGUGCAGUCAAAGACCAAGUGGCAUUAACUUCGAGAGCUUGAAUCUCCGAGGUCAUGGCUUCUCACCAUCGAGGAUCUUUAGCAGCCUCUGCAUAUGUGUUAGGUUCAACAGAGAGAGUAAUAUUGGCAAUAAAACUUUGAUAAGAUGGAGAAAGAUUUUUAUAAGAAAUAUACUUGCAUAAAGGAUGGUGAGUACAUUUUUUAGAAGAACCUGGAGUCGAUGCAUUGAGUGGGGAAGACGAGGAAACAUGAGAGCAAGCAUAGUCAUCAAGGUAAGUAGGUGUACGUUUAGGCCUAUCAGAGUGGCGUAUGGAGGGGGCAACAUGUGGACUAGGUGAUGGAGGAGGGCUAUUGGUGACUGUUUGGUUUGAGAGAGGUGUAGCAAUGAAGUUGGAUGAAGUCUCAUUGUCAACCUGAGGGGAUGGUGAGAUGGACUCAACAUGAGUGGGUGGGGUCUCAAUGUCAUCAUGAGUAGGAAGAGGCAAGACAGGUUCUUGAGUUUGGGGUUAAAGGAGUGGUGAUAAAAGGAAAAUUAGACUCAUGAAAAAGCAACAUCUUGGCUGGUGAAUACUUUGUGAGUAGAAAGGUUGUACAACUUAUAUGCUUUUUUACCAAAGGGAUAUCCUAUAAAGACACAUUUGCUGGCUCGUGCAUCAAAUUUAUGAAGAGGUUGAACAUUGGUGGCAUAAGCUAAACAUCCAAAAGUACGCAAGUGUGCAUACGAUGGUGGACGGUCAUAAAGAACCUCAAAAGGUGAUUUAUUGGACAAAAGUGGUGUGGGUAAGCGAUUUAUGAGGUAGAUUGCAGUAAGGACACAAUCUCCCAAAAAAUACAAAGGUAAGUGACUCUGAAAGCGUAGUGCCCUGGCCACUUGCAAAAUAUGACGGUGUUUUCGCUUGACCACUCCAUUUUGUUGUAGAGUAUCUGUGCAAGAACGUUAAAAAAUCAUACCAUUCUCAGAAAAGAAAGAAUGUAGGGACAAAAACUCACUACCAUUAUCAGUUCGAAUUUUCUUAAUUUUGUGAUGGAAUUGAGUUUCUACAUAAGAAAAGAAAGUUUUAAUUAACUGUUGUGUUUCAGAUUUAUGUCUCAUCAAAAAGAGCCAAGUGGUUUGAGAAAAAUCAUCAACAAUUGUUAAGAAAUAUCGAGCCCCAUUAUAAGUAGAAAUUUUGUGCGGUCCCCAAAUGUCACAAUGAACAAGCUAAAAAAUGUGUUUACUGGAAAUAUGACUUAAUGGAAAAGGCAAUCUAGUUUGCUUUACUAAUGGGCAAACAUCAUAAGGUUUAUUUGAAUAAGAAUAAGCAUCUAACGAUUGCUUAGCUAAAAGGUGGAGUCGUUGUGGAGAGGGAUGACCAUGACGACGAUGCCAUGAAAUGGAAUUAACGCAACUAGGUGAAGGUGAAGUGGUGCGGUUACUGUUUGGUUUGGUGAGAUAGUAAAGACCUCCACGUUGUCUACCCCAUCCAAUCAUCUUUCUCAUCUUUAAGUCCUGUAAGACACAAAAAUCCGAAAAAAAUGUUAUGGAGCAUUGAAGGGAUUUUGUUAAACGACUAACGGAUGUCAAAUUAACCAAAAAUGAGGCAAUUCGUAAUACGUUAGUCAAUGAAAGUUUGGGAUCAAAAGUAAAAUUGUCAAUACUACUAAUUGAAACCCUUUCACUAGUCAGAAGUUUUCCUGGUGGUAGAGACUUGUUCACAAUAGAGUUUGAUAGGGGAAGCGCUGUAACAUGAUCCGUGGCGCCACUAUCCAUUAUCCAUUCUUGUGAAUGAUGGGAAAACAAACCUGAGAUUGCAUUGGUCUGUGCUUCAGAUGGCAAAUUUCCAGCCAUCAUAGCAAAGAGUUGUUGAAGCUGCUCAGGAGUAAAAGUCAUCGGUGUUGCUAAUGUAGAGGAAGAAGUUGAAGAAGUUGUUGCUUGAACAUGGUUGGUCGCAGGUUUUCCCUCCUUACCACGGCCCUUUCCCUUGUUCUUUUUAUGGAGACGAUGGUCUUCGGGAUAUCCAUGAAGCUGGUAACAAGUCUCCCUGGUGUGGUGGUCCAUGUCACAAUAAUCGCAAUGUAGCAGCUUGCGAUUCCCUUGCUACCACGGCUAUGUUGAUUACCUCGACCACCUUGAACUGCCAUGGUUGCUCCUUCCACACUUGGUUAUGGGAUGGCUGCAAUUCCACGUUGAUUCUCCUCUUGGUUAACCAUUGAAAAAACUUUGAGCACUGAAGGCAAUGGCUUUACAAGCAGAAUCUGACCUCUCACUGCUGCAUAUGAAUCAUCAAGCCCCAUUAAAAAUUGCAUAACCUUAUUUUGCUCCUCUUUCUCGCUACGGUAUUCCAUGGCACCAUAUGAGCAGUUUUUAUGGCUGCCGUAAGAAGAUAAUUCAUCCCAUAAACCCUUCAAUUGGGAAUAAUAGUCAGACACAGACAUCUGAUUUUGAGUGAAGCGUGCAAUAUCACACUGAAUCUCAAAAAUUCGUAGGACGUUGUCUUGUGAAAAAUGAAUCUUGAGGUCCUCCCAAAUAGCAUGUGCAGUUUCUGCAUAAACCACACUGUUUGAUAACCCAUAACUCACAUAAUUUAAAAUCCACAUGAGAACCGUGUCUUUACAGCGCUGCCAAAGAGCAGCUUCAGUUGCUUUCUUGUCUGACGGCUUCUUCACAGACCCAUCAACAAAACCAAAUUUGUUCUUUGCAUUAAGGGCAAUACGCAUUGAAUGAGACCAUGUGCUAUAAUUGUUUCCAGUAAGUAGAGUAGAAACAAGAUGCAUCCCUGGAUUAUUAGAGUGAUGAAUAUAGAAAGGGCUUGAGGGAUCGUUCGACACCUCAACCGACUUGGAGUCUCCCAUGGCAAAAAAAGCGACUUUGCUCACAAGAAAAACCGAAAAAAGGAACGAAGAGAAACCAAGGAAACAAAAAAAAUCCUAGGAUCUUGGACUCUCUGGUAUCAUCUUAAGAAUAGAAUGGCAGUUUGAAUAAUCUUCUGUAUUGAUUCAUUGAAAUAUACAAGCUAGGCUAGAGUUCUUAUACAAACUGUAAAGAUACAAUCACAUCCCGUAAUUCCUACAAAUCAGCUAAGUAAAUAUAUUUACAAAAGGAAAGAAUAAAUCGUUGAUAGUCAAUGAUCACCAUGCUACCAAAUGGGAAGGAAAUCAUUCAUAUCAUAACAGGGGUUGGUCAAAAUAAAUAAUCAGAACAACUUGUUGGAAUAAUGUGCUCUUUCCUUUAUCAUUUGCUUUAUGUCAUGGUUAUCUGCCGAUCUGUGGUCAUUUUUAUGUGUCAUCUUCCUUCUAUUUUCACUUGAUGAUCGGCACUGCAAGGUCAAGCUCAUCUCUGAUGUUCGAACUUGUGAACUACAUAAUACUUCCCCAAAUUAGGGUUUAUCAAUAGUAAAAUAUGUGUGACUUUAACACCACUUGGCAGUGUGAAGUCGCACUGAGAAGAUUAAGUAGAUAAAUACAUGGGUUAUAGUAUGUAAAAUUAUAAUAUCACGUGACAAUGCAACAAUCAUUUUUAAAGGAUUAAGUACAUAAAUACACGUGUAUAAUAUGAAUUAAAAAGAUCAAGUACAUAAAUACAUGUGUAUAAUAUGAAUAUCAUUCAUGUAAGUGUCUCACGUGAGUGGCUUAAAGGAGACAGUUAUUCAUCAUAUAUUCAUUGUUCAUCAUAUGGAUACAAAACAAGGCAGAUAGAUAUUCAUAACGUCAACGCAUUUCAGAUGCUUUCAUCACAUUUGGCACCUUUUACUCGUCUUAUGUUAUGGCCUCCAUUUUAUAUGCCAUAUGUCUUAUGUUAUGCCCUCCAUUUUAUAUGACAUAUUUAUAAGAAAUUGUUAUUGACAUUGUACAUAAUUGUCUUUCCUAUUGACACUGUACAUAAUUGUCUUUCCCUUGCUAUUUAGAGCAUCUUCAAAAUAGAUGUCAAAAUAUCCAAAUUAGCAUUAACAAUCAAAAGAUAGCAACAAUUUUCCAACCGAAAAACCAAAUUUGAUGUGGCAUGAUAUGGAUUGGCAACCAUCAUCCUUGCUGCCCAAAUUAACAGUAACUUCAAAUCUUUUUUUAAUUAAUUAUUGACUGCAUUUUAUUAAUUUCAUUAUUGUUUUUUAUUUCAAAACAUUUAUUAUAACAUUUUAAUAUAAUAAAAUAAUAGCUUAAUUGACACAUCGGGUGGAGAGAAAACCUAAAAGAUGUCAAACUACCAUAUUGACUGUCAAAUUUAAAUUUUAUGUUUAAACUUAGGUAAAUUACAUUUUACCCCCUCUAGUUGAGGUGAACAAAUUUGUUGGAAUUUUGGAUUGACGGGCGGAGGCGCUCCACUCUAACAAUACUAAUAUUGUUCCCAACUUAGCAAUUACUACCUACCCAAUCCGUCAGGUGUGGGGACAUGAGUAUAAGUUAAAGUGAGAUAAUUAUAUUUAAACUCAUUAUUUCUCUUUCCCAUGUGGGAUAGUCAACAAAAAUAGAUGUUAAGUAAUGACGUGCUAAUAAUAUGUUCCUCAUUUAUGCUGACGUGACCGACUACCAACUUGUGCCACAUAACCAUUAAAUUAAAAGACUUUUCGACUAGAAAAAUGAUCUUCGAAAUGCAUCCUUCUUUAAUCUCUGAAAAUAUAAUUUAUCCUUUAAAAUUUAGCAUCUCUUUUUGAAGAUGCUGCUAAGAAAACUACAAAUGGAUGGAUGUAUGCAUGUGAGCAGCCCCAACGACCCUCCACUCCAAUUUUAAAUUCUUCCAUCAAUUGUUGGGGUGCUAUAUAAUAAGAAGUAAAGAACCACAAGCUGGAGUUUGCAGACUGAAUCUAAAUCCUUCGGUUUUAACACUAAGAAGUCAUAACAUGGUGGUGAAGGUGUAUGGGCCUCUGUACGCCGCCCCAAAGCGUGUGCUGGUAUGCCUUGUUGAGAAAGAGGUUGACUUUGAGACAGUCCCCAUUGAUCUUCUCAAGGGAGAGAACAAACACCCUGAUUUCCUCAAGUUACAGGUUAGCUAAUUAGUUACCUCUUAAUGCAAUUGUUUCUGAUUAGUGAUUGUUUUACUCAUGGUAUGAAUUGAGAUGGUCUUUUGUAAAUAUGUAAUUAUUUCUUUAUUUUCCGAUCGUGACAAAAGAAACACUUAUUCUUUCUUCAACAAUUUAUGCUUUUAGUGGACUUCUCAAUAGGAUUUAAACCCAGAUGAAGUUCUGAUCAUCUGUUAGAGAAAAAAGAAUGAAUAAGUAUGUAAAUUAUUUACUUGUACAUUGGUUUUGUAUUGGUUUGUCUUUAAUUGCAGCCAUUUGGAACAGUUCCUCUCAUUCAAGAUGGGGAUUAUACUCUAUAUGGUAUGCUAUGCUUUCUUUCUAGCACUUGAUCUUUUAGUUUUUAUUAUUUAUAUUGAGGGUAAAUUACACAAAACUAUCUUAACUAUUGGGUCAACUACAGUUUCAUACCCCAUCUUUAAAAAAUUUCAAUGUCAUACCUUAUCUACGAAUUUAUUGUAAUGUCAUACAUUCCGUUAGUUUGUCUGUCAAUUCCUCCGUUAAAUGCUGACGUGGCUUAAAAAAUUUAAUUAAAUAUUAAAAACUAAAAAAAUAAAAUCAUUUAAUUUUUUUCUUUGCAUGGGGGACCCAAGGGAUGGGCAAAAUACUCAUGGGUUUGGGUAACAGCGGUUACCCGUCUAUUUAAAGUUCACAUUUACGAUUAUGGGUAACCGUUUGGACGAACAAAUGGUUAUGGCUAUAACCGUUUAUCCGUGAAAUUUAAAUGGGCGAUUAUGAGUAUUAUCCGCGGUUAUAACGGGUAUCCAUCGGUUAUGGGCAUUACUUACGGUUAUAACGGAUACCCAUUUACCCAUUUAAUUUAAUAUAUGUAAAAUUUAAAAACUAUUGAGCGAACUCUAAAAUUAGUAGGACUAUUGAGCAAACUCUAAAAUACAUGCGUAAUCAUUGUGUUCUUCUUGAAAACCGCCUACUCCAGCUUUGCGCAUAUCAUGUCAAACGUUCCAUUGCUCAUCUGAAACGCCUUUCGAAACUCCUCCUUCGAAACGUCUGGGUGGCCUAAAUUCUCCCACCACACCUUGGACCUGACCUUCACCCAAAGCCUCAUGUGUGGAUCCGAAAUCGUAGCACUCAAAAAUUAGUAGGACUAUUGAGCGAACUCUAAAAUACACGUGUAAUGAUUAUGCGUGUUUUGAAUAAUCUAGUAUUCAAGAUAAUGACUACUUUUUGUUUUUAUAAACUUUACUUUGUAAUCAUAUGGAUUAUAAUUAAAAACUUGCUUGGAUGUAGCAGAAAAAUAUCGUUCAUAAACUUUAAUUUCAAUUAUUGGAAUUGUAUGAGGACUGAAAUGUUUAAAAUAGGGAAAUGCAUGCUAAAAUUUACCUAUAACGGUGUUUAAUUGUCAGAAAACAAAAAUUAUGACAAAUUUUUCUUUUUUAAUUUUCAAGUUGUUAAAAAAAAAAAACAUGUAAACAGGUGAAAAAAGGAGUAAAUGGGUAAAAAAAGGAUAAAUGGGUUCAAAAACGGAUAAAUAGUUAUAGUUAAAUAGGUAAACGGUUAUAGUUAAAUGGGUACACGGUUAUGGGUAUGAUUAACUGUUUAUAUACAGUUAUAGGUAUGAGUAUAACUGUUUAUGCAAUUACCCAACGGGUAAAUGGUUAUGCGAGUAUGAACAUAAAUGGUUAUAGGUAAAUAACCGCGGUUACACGCCCACCGUAACGUUGCCCAUCCCUAGACCCAGCCUUUAUCCCCCUCACCUUUCUUCCCCGCCCCAACCCAAACCUAGAUCCCACCCGCUCCGAUUUUCCCCCAAGCCACCCCCCAAACUAAUCACCCUCAACCUUCUUCCCCAUCUUUCUCCCCUGAACUCAUCACCCUCACCCUUAUACUUUCUCUCUAAAAUCCACUCCCUUUCUCUCUGUAAAAUUUCCAUACCAAAAUUAACGGCAUAUUCCUCUCUCUCUCUCUCUCUGUUCUUCCUCCCAAAUUUUCUCGGAAAAUCCUUCAUUGCAAACCCAAGAACCCAUCAGAAACGUUUAUUUUCCCGGGAACCAAUUAGCCCCCAAAGAAAUUUUUUGAUUCAAAUUAAGGGUUGCUUUCCCAAAUUUUUUGAUUCACUGCAAACCCAAGAACCCAUCAGUGAGUAGGGACUGAUUCAAAAGAAUGCUGGUGAAGAUUAUGAGGUGGUGACCAUGGCUGCAUCUGACGAUGAGGUGAGGCUAGUGUACAGAGGUUGGAGGGUUAGGAUCUGGUGAGGGAGGGUGCAGGCGGGGGCCGGUCCACAAGACAGAAAAAGAGGAGAAGUGGACGGCGGAGAUUAGGUGGAAGGGAUCCAAGGUCAAGGUUGGGACCAAUGAGGCUGCUGUUGCAGUGUGAAAGGGAGAGAGAAUACGGGAGGAAAGGGGAGAGAGAGAGGGGAAGGAUGGUUCUGGGCACAACAAGGGAGUGAAGUGGGGGAGGAAGGUGGGUGAGGUUGGUUUUUAUUAGGGUGCCAUGCAAAAAAAAUAUUAAAUGAUUUUAUUUAUUUUUAGUUUUUAAUAUUUAAUUAUGUUUUUUAAGUCACGUCAGCAUUUAACGGAGGAAUUGACAGACAAACUGACGGAAUGUAUGACAUUGCAACAAAUUCGUACAUAAGGUAUGACAUAAGAUGAGGUAUGAAACUAUGGUUGACCCAAUAAUUGAGGUAAUUUUAUGUAAUUUACUCUUAUUCUGAUACAAAUGAUAGUGGGCUAUGAAAUCUCAAUUGCAUUGGUGAAUAUUCGUAAUUGAGUAACAACUAUUUUUGCUAGCACAUGAUAUAUUUUACUUUUGGGUCCAAAUUUAUCGUCUUUUGAGAAUUUCCUUAGCAUCAGAUUGACAUUACAAUACACUUGCUCAUUGGUUUCUUAACAUCACCAAUACAAUGAUCUAACAAGUUGUUUAAGAAUGUAAAGUUGCACGUACCAAAUAAAAUACAACACAUAACUAGUGAUUCCACUACUAAUAGAACUUGCUUGAAAGGUGUUCGAUGAAAUGCCUGAACUGAUCACCAAUACAAUGAUCUAACAAGUUGCUUACUAAGAAUGUAAAGUUGCACAUCGGAAACCUGAACAAAUAAAAUACAACACAUAAUUAGUGAUUCCACUACUAAUAGAACCGAAUUUUUUUAUUUUUAUUUUUAUUUUUUUGAGAUAAAACUCCACUGGUCCGUCUUUCUGAAAUCUUACCAAUUGUUUGAUUAAAUUGUCUUCGAUCUGCAGAAUCACGUGCAAUCAUGAGGUACUACGCAGAAAAAUAUAAGUCACAAGGGACUGAUUUGCUGGGAAAGACAAUUGAGGAAAGAGGGCUUGUGGAACAAUGGCUGGAAGUUGAAGCACACAACUUCCAGCCACCAAUCUACAACUUGGUCGUUCACAUUCUCUUUUCCCCAGUUUUGGGUUUUCCUUCAGACCCCAAGAUCUUACAAGAGAGUGAAGAAAAGCUGGGAAAAGUGCUGGACAUUUACGAGGAGCAACUGUCGAAAUGCAAGUACUUGGCCGGUGAUUUCUUCAGCCUUGCUGAUCUUAGCCACCUUCCAUUCACUCACUUCUUGGUGGCUAAUAUGGGGAAGGAGUAUAUGAUCAGGGACAGAAAGCAUGUCUCUGCAUGGUGGGAUGACAUUAGCAACAGACCAUCUUGGAAGAGGGUCCUACAGUUUGGUGACCCAUUUUAAGGUUGAUGUACCUCUGGAAGAAAAAUUGUGUACUACGGGUGUGUACAAUUGUUUUUCUUGCAGUGAUGACGUGUUGUGUAUGAAACAUUAUUGUGAGAAGAAUGUUAAAUUCUCGUGUAGUUUAUAUAACUAUUGUACCCUGGAGUUGGGCAAAAUAAAUAAUCAGAACAGCUUGUUGGAAUAAUGUGCUAUCUCCUUGAUCAUUUGCUUUAUGUCAUGGCUUGUGAGAUGUUUUUUAUUUCUCUGUAAGACGUAUUCGACCUUCCAUUUGCUAAUUGGCUGAUCUUUGAUCGUUUUUCUGCUUCAUCUUCCUUCUAUUUUUUUGUUUCUGGUUUUUUCAGUAGUCCUCAUCUGUGAUGCCCGAACUUGUGAACUACAGGGUUGAUACCUCUCCAAAUUAGGAGUAGCAAAAAAUAGAGUACUGCAAUAUGCAUGACUUUAAUGUCACGUGACAGUAUGAUAAUCACAUUAAAAAGAUCAAGUAAAAAAUACACGUGUAAAUAUGUAUAAUUAUGGCAUUAUAUGACGGUGUGACAGACUCACUGAAAAAAAAAUCUACAAACUUAAGAGCUUAGUUUUGCUAGAAAGGGUCAUGCUUGUACCUUGUAGGUUUAUGGGCCUUCUUCAGGCUGAAUUUGUUGUUAAUUUUAAUUGCUUUUGAAAACCUCAUUAGUUUUGUGAAUGUUUGAUAUCAGAUCGUUACGAAAAAAGCUAAACAAAAUUGUUUAUAUUAAUUUUCCAAAAAAAAAUUGUUUAUAUUAAUACACUAAAGAUUGUAUGAUACUGAUCAAAAUCAAAUUACAAACAUGUACAUCUAUUAUAUUUGGACCGUGAGCUUUGCAUAUACGUUAAAGAACAAUGUUCGACUCUUUAUAUAUAAAGAGUAUUUUGAAACGUGUAACUUAUUAAACUCACAUAAAAAGUUAGGUUUUUAUCAUAAAUGGUCCUUAAAAUUGACCCACCCUAUCAAGAUGGUACCUGAAAUUGAAAAUCAAUCAAUUUGAUCCUUGAAAAUGGAUAUCGCAAAUCAAUAUGGUCAUUCCGUCACAAAUCUGUCAAAAUUCUAUCAUGUACUAAUGUGGCACAUAACUGGAUCCCAUAAGUCUAAUUGAAUAUUGACAUUUGGAUUAAAAAUUAUUAAUAAUAAAUAUCUUUUUUGUUGGGUUAUUUUAUUCACACCCUACAUUUUGUUGAUUACACUUCACAUACUUAAUAAACCCCACUUUUACUUUUUGAACUAAAAUUUAUCUUAAUAUACCCCACAUUUUUUCCAAUACUACCCUCACACCCAACAUACACAAUAAUAAGACACCUAACGCUCAAACUCUUUGUCAAUAUUUAGGUUUAUGUCAAUUGAGUGUUUAGUUUUUUGUCAAUUAGGGAUUUUAGAUUUCGUAUUUGAAGAAAUUGGAUCAAAAGCAUCGAAUGCAAACCAAGUUCUGCAAAAAAUAGAAUAAAGCCUUUGUAAUCUUAGCAAGUGAAUUCAAAAGGUUGUUCAAGAGAAUUUCGGAAGUGUCCAUCAUCAAUUCAUCAUCAAGCCAUCACAUUGAAGACUAUUACUUCUAUUGGCUCGAGUAAGGAGAAAUAAUGUGACAAGUUGCCCUAAGUCGCUUCAUGAGGUUUUCAAUAUUUAUUUUCUGUAUACGAUCAAUAGGCAACAGCAAACUCCAUCAUAUCAAAAGCAAACCAGUUCAAUUUUCUAUGAAGUGAAUUUUGCCAAUCGAAUGAAAUAUUAUAAACAUAAACUGAUAUGUGAUAAAUGACAUUGCAAUGAAUUGUAUCGUUGAGUUCAACAUCGGGUGAGAGUGACUUCGAGAGCUUGAAGAAAAUAAUAUACACUAACCUGUGCACAAAAUGAAUGGAAUUUGCUUUGCAGCCAUAAAAAAUUCAAUUCGUUAAUUGAAUCUCCAACAUAUCAUUUUGUUGAAUCUUUUAGAAGGAUUAACACAAAACGAAUGGAAUGUUUUAUUGGCUGCGCAGGCCUUAAGGUUUUAACAGACAUGGUUGGAGAGAGGAAGCAACAGCCCACAAAGUUUGCAAUCCGAGCAGAAAGAAAAAACCAAGGAUAACAAUGUUUUAUCAUGGUUUCGUUGUUUUUGGCACCCAGAAAGUUAGGCUGUGGGAAAUCAAAUGUCUUCUGAUAAAUAUAUACCCACCUAAUUAAGUACAACCAUGCAUGCACAACGAACACCAAUGCUUCCUGAUAAGAGAUUUUACCACACAUGCACAAGGGUUAAAAACUCCUAUAUUACUUGUAAGAAUGACAAGGUUAUUGUAGUAUAAACGGUUCUCGCAAGGUCGUUCUCCAUAAGGAUUAUUAAAUAAUUAGAAGCAAAUCAAAUUCCAAUUAAUUAUUAUAAAGGAGAAAGUUGAGAUGAUUGAUUUUUUAUGACCUAAUUUAAUAAAACGAAUUUAACUAAUAAAAAUAAGACAAUCUGCAAUAUUAAAGCUGAAGGGAAAGAAAACAGUUUUGUAGAAAUCAAAUUAAGGAAACACUAGGGAUCUGCUGUCACCUUAACAAUCCUAUAUAGUUUGUCCAAUUACUUAUAACCUAUACAUGCAUAUUUCGAAGGUUAGGUGUUCUUAAUAUAUGCCUACUUGGACCCCCAACAUAGAACGUAUAUCAAACAUGCAAUCCAUCUGUGGUAUUCAGAUCAAAUCUAAACAUGCACACCUCAUUAAGUUUUGUAAAACUUUUUGAAAAACCAUGCAACCUUUAAGACGUGGUAUUCAUCUUAAGUGAACUUGCACAUAUUAACCACAAGAAGCCUUCGUCAAUUUCAGGGAUCGACCUCCGACCAAAAUUGCAUCAAAUUACUUUUCUAAACAUCCUAAUGGUGAUCAAGCAUCAAGACAAAUAGAUAGUUUAAACCAGUGCUUAAUAAUUUGAAAACCUGCAUGCAUAUAAUCAUAAGCAAAUUGAAGAGAAACUACAUAUUCUCGUUAAGGCUCAUGGUCUCACCCUAACAAAAAGAGAAUUAGUUAUACAUAUUCAUAAUAAAAAUCAUAAAGUUCUUUAUUGAAAUAAUAAAAGAUCAAAAACACUUAGAAUGGAAGUAGUCUGAAAAUCUCUACGAUUGGCCAAUUUCCUCUCUUCAAGAAUGCACGAAGAAGUUACAAGAAUAAAGCCGCCCAAACUUAUUUAACCUAGCAGAAAUUAAAUUCUCCUAAUAAAAGGUCUUCCAAUCGAACUAGGAAACUAAAUAACUAAAAUAAAAUAGAAAACAUAACCCUAAAUUAAAUGGUAAAAUUCACCUAAAAUAUGAACAGCCACGUUUUAGACCACUAAACUGCUCCAAAACCGUCCCAAUACAGCUGGGUUUAAAGUUUGGAAUAUUCUGAACAUUUUUCCAGAAGGUCACGAACCCAUCAAAGGUCAUCUCGGGCUUCAAAAACUCAAUUUAAGCUCAGAAACGUCAUUUUCGAACACUGCACACUGCUUCUUUAUUCCGUCGCCAGAAAAUAACCGUUUGGUAGAAAAAUUCUAAACUUCGAUAUCAACACUCCAAGAGACACACGAACAUCCUUCAAUUUGAAUCACUCUAAAAUUCGUCCGUUUGAUCAUGUUUUGCUCCAGAGGAAGUCAAAUAUCCUAUAUUGAAAAUAUAAAUCAAAGUAUCAAAAUUCUAUCAAAAUAAUUACCAAAACACACUAAGAAUAGGGUAAAAUAUAUAAUAUGAAAUUGACUCAUCACUUCCAAAACCCGAACCUAAAACCUCGUUAUCACAAACACACAACACAACAUAAGGACAUCAGAAGCAACGGCGAAGCAUCUAUUCAUCUUCUUUCUUCUUUUUUUUCCUUUUUCUUUAAGUUUUAUAUUAUGCAAAAAUAAAAAUUAUUAUUUAAUUGUGUAAUUAUUUUUAAUUCAAAUGUCAACAUUUAAUUAGAAUUGUGGAACCUAGGGCUGGGCACGGGCCAGGCCGAGCCCAAUUUUAAAGGAACCGAACCUUACCCGUUUUAAACAGUAACAAGGCGAGCCGGACCAGGUAGAGGGUUUUUAAGUUUGGGAACCGGGCUGGUUUAAGAUGGGUCCACGGGUCUAAUUAACCUUUUUUUUUCUUUUCCGGUUUUGAUACAGAGCUCUAGAACGUUCCACAGUUCUAGAUUGCUCCUACUGCCAACGAAAUUGACGGCUUGGAAGCUACCCGCACCAGCAGCUGAACCACUGGUGGUGAAUCGGUGAAGGUGGUGGUCCUCAUCUCUCCUAAUCCCAAAUCAAGGUCUCUGUCUCUUGACUCCGAUCGACGAGCAUGGCGCGAGGCUCCAAUCUGACUCAGAUCGACGAUGGUAGUCCUUUGUAUGUACUCAGUGAACCAAACCCUGUUGGCGGACACGCCGCUGGCUGCGAUGAGCUUUUGGGUGUCGAGCACCAUGAUUCUGUAUGCUUUGCACGACGGCGAAGCCAUCGCCUACCAAACCGAAGAUGAAUUCCAUAUCCUUAUGAUAAAAGGCAGAAAGUCCUAAUUUUUAAUUAUAUUUUCCACUAAGAUGAAACCUUUUGUCAAAAAUGUGGACGUAGGGGCAAUGCCUUUGUGUUCUUUGAAUGGGUAUUUCAGAAUCUAAUUAAUCUCCUAGGUUUUUUGAAUUUUGGUGCUCUAUCUAGAUCGGUUCUGUAGAAGUCUCGAAGCAAUCGGCGCAAUGAAUUCGAGGGUGGGAGGGAGAAGAGAAUGAGGAAUAGGUGGUGCCGUCGAGGGAGCUGAGCCAUUGUGGUGGUGGAGGAGAUGACUCGAGUGGGAGUCUGGUCUAAGUCUAGGAAGGAAAGGGACGAUGGGAUGGAAUGGAUAAUGGAUUAGGUUUAGAGAAUUAGUAAAUGGGUUAUAGUUAGAAACGGGCCAUCUGGGGCCCCGUUAUUCCAAAUCCUAAGACUCGACCUGCCCCUUAAAUAUUAUGGAUCCGCCCUGCCCCGUCCCAUUUCUAUUCUCAAAAAAUUGAAACCGGCCUAUACCCGCCCCAAACCUUGAUUACCCGCCUCGACCCUCGGUUCUUGUACCCGUUUGCCCUAUGUGCCACAUCAGCACAUAACAUAAUUUUUGACAAAUUUGUCACGGAAUGACUACAUUGAUUUAUGAUAUCCAUUUUUAAGGAUCAUUUUGAUUGAUUUUCAAUUUCAGGGACCAUCUUAAUGGAAUAGUCAAUUUCAACGACCAUUUGUGAUAAAAACCUUAAAAUUUUUUUGCAUACAUGUCAAAUUAUAAUUUUUCUGUUAAACCUUAGCCAGAUGCGACUAGUCAGCCUUACGAACUCGAGAAUUCUUGUAGCAGUUGUACGUGGCACUGAGAUCUUUGUCGUGCAUCUAUCGACUUGAAACGUAACACAAAAAAAUGAUGAUGGUCAAACUGAUCAAGCGGCAGUAAUAUUAGAAGUCUUGUUUAAUUGUUUACAUUUUGAAUAAGAUUAAAUGAACCAGCAGGUAUGUUGCCCACAAUACAAGAAAUGCCUUUUCAUGAAGUUUACCAUUGGGAGCUAUUCACCAUCUGGUUUUUCCAAUGAGAUAUAACGACUUUGUGUGUUGUGAUCACUGUUUAAAAGUCUCGCCUAGGCCUUGCUUAGGUGUUAGGUGCUAAGCUACUAUUACGAUUAAGCAUUAGACGUUUAAAAAAUAAAAAUUGGCACCUAGAUUUGCUUAGGCACCUACCUAGUAAAACGCCUAGGUCAUGACUCUCAUUUAGACAGAAAAUAGAUAAUUUUCCUUUUGCAUUUUAUUUUUGAAGAAAUUAGGUUCCCUUCAUUUAUUUUUUCUUACUCCAUUGAUUAAAACCUUAUUCCUUUUCAACUUUUGAUUAAGAUCCUUAGGUUUUAAUGAAUGUCAUUAUUUCAAUAAUAAAAUAUUUACAUGUCAAGAUAAUUAAAUUUUGUUACUAAAUAUAUUCAUUUAGUGUUAGAAACGUUACAUUUGGUAUGUUUAUAUUUAUGACUAAAGUUUGUAUCAUAUAUUUCUAUUUUUAGUUUGUACCCAUUUUUAAUUUGCAACCAUUUUUUUAAUUUGUACCAUUUUUCUUUAUAGUUUUAAAUUGUACCCAUAUAUUAAUUUUUUUGUUCCCAUAUUUUUAAAUUUUUAUUUGUAAUCAUAAUUUUUUUCCUAUUUUAUUAGUGCCUAUAAUUUAUUUAUUGUCACAUCCCAGCCCUGGCCCCCACCAUAUCCCAUGACACACCCCGACCGAGAUCAAGGCAUGCUGGCCGUCACGUGAGGGUGACGUAGCCAUGUGCGCAGUGCGGAAGCAAUUAAGAUAAGAAAUAUACGGAUAUUAAAAAACCGAAACUACUAGAGUGCACUAUAAAGCAUGAAGUGAUAAGAGUUAGUUACAAAAGUAAAUACUCCUAAUCGGAGCAUAAUAAUCCUAGGUGCAGUCCAGUAGGACAAGUACUAGUUAUACAAUACCAGAAAUGUCCUAUUAUUAUUUAGAUAUGUUAGAAACGCCGAAGUCCUCGAACCCAGCAACAGCAAGCUUAUCGAAAACCUGGAGGGGCGCAAAACAGAAAACGUGAGUGGGCAAAAACAAAUGUUUUACAAAACCAUUUCAUUUAUCAACAUAUCUAACCCUUCACUAUAAAACAUGUAUAAUUUUUCCCAGAAUCAAGAUAUAUGCAUAUACAUAAAUAUAUAUAUAUAUAUAUAUAAUUAUAUCAAUUCAAACCAUGCUUCACAUAAUCAUUUUCAUAAGUAUGCCAUGCCAAAAUAUAACAGAGUAAGCAAUUCAAGUAAGAAUAAUUUCAUAGAAAUAUAACAUGUUAGUCGGAACCCUUGUGGUAAUCUGUACGGCUGAAUUCAUAGCUCAAAAGUCAAUCUAGCCGGAGUCAAUACAAUGACCUAUACGGCAACAUACUGCACAAGAGUCAGAGCCAAAUGAAAAGGUCUGUACGACAAUAAUGGGUGUAAUAUAAUCAUGCUCAACACUACUCUCACAUAAUAGUUGGGCGAUAAAUCGCUAGUCACCUACGAGUCGGAACCAUAAAUAAGGUCUGUACGACAAGGCUAUGCACCUAAAUUGGAUCCAAUAUGAGCAUAUGGUGCGGGAGGUGACAUACUAAACAGGCUUGUGCCAAAUCUCUGGCUAAAUCACAAUCACCCUAGGUGCAGUUUUAUGAGUUCAACAUUAUUCAAUCACAUAUCGCAUCAUUGACAAUUCGCAUAACCCAAUAUAACUCACCUGAGCUUAACUGAGCGUCCACAACACCACACACACACACACACACACACAUAUAAAGCAUCAUAUACUAAUUCAUAUGCUGAAUAUAAAUUUAUAUGCAUGGCAUUUCAAAGCAUACUUUCAUUUAAAUGCAUUUUCUGGGAAAAUAUCAAGUAUAUAAGUAUAUACUGAAAACCAAAAGCCCACUCACUGGUAUGUCGAAGGAUCGUAGCCCCCGAGUCACCCUUGAAUGCGCUCGUCCUCGGGAUAAGUCUCACCUAUAUGCGAAUUAACUAUAAAAAUGUUAUUUUAGAGCACAUACACAAAACUAGUUAAUAACUUCUCAUACAAUGCUCAAUUUUGGUAUUUGAAUAUACCACAGUGACCUACACAACCUCAGGAUCAUCUCCAAAUUUUUAGAAUAAUUCUUGGACCCCUCAAGCGCCGCCAAGGCCACGGCCCUACGCGCCCCCACGCGCGGCCACGUGACAAGCAUACUGACGACAUCAGUCAACACCGUCAGGAAUAUUCUAGGGAAUAUUCCAUUAAAAUCCAACGGUAAUUGUUAAAGAUGACUGACGGCGUUAGCUUAUUCCGUCAACCUUGACGGAAGAUACUCCUUUCUUCUCCGGCGACUUCGCUGGUUUCUAGGUAAAACUUUAAAACCACUAUUCUCUUUCGUUUCUUCACCAUUUUCCACAAAAUUGGUACCAAAAUGAAGCUAAUAGCAUGCAAAAUCACGUUAUACAAGUUUCAAGGCUUAAAAUCUACUAGGUUUUCCUCGAGAAAGCUUGAUAGUUCGGCUUACCUAGAUAUACAUCGAUCUCAGCCUUCCGAUGUCCAAUUUCUUCCAACGAAGUACCCUGAGACUCGUGAGGACCUCCUUAAGCUUCCUAUAAACUUCAAAUUCCCUUAAAUACAAGAUUUCACGUAUACAUGAACAGUGGCAAAAUCGGAGCUAGGGUUUCCACGUGAAAUCGAAGGUUCCCUUACCUGAAAAUGGUAUUUUUAAACUCGUAUGGUCCUCACGAACACAAUGAUGAUCUUAAAACCUUUGAUCUACAAGGUUUGAGAGGGUUUCUGGGUUGGUCCGUAUGAAAAAGGGAGAAAGAGAGUGAGAGUCUGAGAGAGAAAGAGCACGGGAAGGAGAGAGAGAAAAGGUGGGAGUGUGUGUGUGGUCCAAAAGUCACCAAUCUAAACUAAGAGAAACACUUAGUUCUCAUUGGGUCAAAUAAUAGAGGAAUAAUGCAAGUUUGAACCCCCUUAAUAUGCAUAACACACACCACAAUACUUGGAUAUAACUGUCAUUUCAUUUCGUCGAAAAUUAAAUAUUCGGAACGGGUUGUGACAUCCCAGGCUCGACUCUGCCGUAGCACAAUAUUGUCCGUUUUGGGCCCCGACCACACCCUCACGGUUUUGUUUCUAGGAACUCACACGAGAACUUCCCAGUGGGUCACCCUUCUUGGGAUUGCUCUCGCGCGAACUCGCUUAACUUUAGAGUUCCGAUGGAACCCCAAGCCAACGAGCUCCCAAAAUGCCUCGUGCUAGGUAGAGAUAUGAAUAUACAUAUAAGGCUUACAUGAUCCUCACCCCUAGGCGAUGUGGGAUCUUACAAUCCACCCCCCUUAGGGGCCCGAUGUCCUCGUCAGCACACUUCUGGUUAAGGAUUGGCUCUAAUACCAAACUGACACACCCAGCCAGGACGCCUCGAUUUGGGUCGGGGUGUGUCAUUUAUAAUGUGCCUAUGUAUCUUUAAAAAUGUACCACUUGUUAUAUGUAAAAUUUACCAAUUUUUUAAUUUAAAAUGUAUCCAUUGUUGUUUAUAUAAAAUGUACGCAUUGUUUUCUAUAUAAAAUGUACCCAUGUUUUUAAUAUAAAAUUUCCCCAUUUUGUGUAUAAAAUGAACCCACAUUUUUUAAUUUAUAAUUAAGUGCGCCAUUGUACUCAUACAAUUAUACGGGUACAUUUUUUUUCAAACAUUUUUAUGGGUUACAUAUUAAAACAUUUUAGUUUUGGAACAAUGUUGAAAUUGUACUCCAUAGAUAAUUAUAUAUAGCCAAUGUACGGGUACAUUCUUUUAACAUGUGACAACUAUUUUAUCAUUCAUAACAAUGUUUUCUUUUGGUCAAAUUCAUAACAAUGUUGGAUACAUUCUUUUGGCACUUUUUUUAAACAUUGUUUCCAAUCGAUUGAUACAUAUAUAUGCGAACAUGUACUUAACAUUUAUUAAUAUACAUUUUCAUAAGAAAUUAUAUUGUUAUAUUGAUAUUAAUCAAUCAAAAUUUUGAAAAAAUUUCCAUAUUUUUUGUUGGCCCUUUUAUUUUAUAGCUCAUCAGAUGUGAGAUUUUAAAUACCAUAAAAUCUCAAGCUUUAUUGUUGACAUGGAAAUAUAUUAAUAUUAAUAUGUUGAGGUGUACAAAGUUAAAGGACUUUGAUCAAAAAUUGACAACCACUAAGGUUUUAAUCAAUGAGUAUUAGUGGCUAGGGACCGCAUCCAAAGUCUCUAUUUAUUUUUUCAAUAAAUUGUAUGAGACUUGUUGGAUAGUUAGACAAACACUCAUUAUAUACUUGUUUCUCAUGUUUCCAAUAUGUUCUAGUACUUUAUAAUUUAUAUAUUAUUUCUAUUUUGCAUAUAUGUGUGACAACUCGUCUCUAAUUUUACGGUUUUAUUAAUUUUAAAAGAUAUUUACAGCAAUGAGUAGUAUUAUGUCGACGUAAAUUAUCGAUUAUUGUUUUAUGAUUCUAUUCACGUUAUCUGCUCAUCGUGUGCUACAUUGGUGUUAGUACUCACUCAGGUCAGGGCUAAUCUUUCACGUGUAUGUUCACAUUGCAUAAUACGCUCACUUUGGAUCCAUUGUAGGUGCCAAUCAUGUUCUAGAUUGCUAUAGGUAAUUAGGACUCGUAUGUGAUGCACAUAGUACCAGUCUUCACGUAAUUGUAGUACUAGAGCUUAAAUCAUUAUUACACCCAGUCUUGUUCAUGUCAGAAUACCUCUGCAUGAACUCGUGUCAGCAUAUGUUUAUGAGCACUCAAUGUGAUAUGUUUAUUUCUGCGAGAUAUUAUGAUUACUGGAAGUUAUAUGCCUAUUUACGAAAUUUGUGACGAGUUGAAUUCUUGAGAUAUUGCAAGAUACGGUAAGUAUUUUCAUACUAUACGUAGUAUGAAUAUUUUGAAAACUAUUCUUGUUUUACGACGAGGGGUUAUAAUGUUUUCAAAAAUGUUUUUAUAAAACUUUAUUUUUAGGCCUACUCACCCUUGUUUUUCGCCCCUCCAGGUUUUAGUGCUGAGCUUUCGUGUCGACGAGGAUUCUUGGCAAACUUUGAUAUAUGUGAUUACCUUCGACGGAUUAAUUCUUAUCCUACUUUUACUGUACUUUACUUAUGCUCUGACAUCACGUGUGAAUUGGGUUUAUUCCCGCUCACAAACGCACUCAUACAUUUAGGUACUUUUAGGUUUAAAUUUAUUCACAUUUUCCAUAUCACUACACUUUAUGGCUUCGCCACCCUCCUGGUGUCGACUAGCACAGCUCGAUUCGGAGUCCAGGUGGACAUUCCGGGUCAGGGUGUAUCAGUUUGGUAUCUGAGCAUAAGUUUGGAUAGUAUUACUUUCAUCACUCCUUUAAAAUAAUAAAACUGUAAAAUUAGUGACGAGUUGUCACAUAUGUAUUCCAGUACAACUGCGUAUUUUUUUUAAAGUAUAAAUAGAAAUUUUUUUGUACGUUAUAUAAUAAAUUUAAUUAAAAAUUAAAAAAAAAGACCUAAGCCCCCCCCCCCAAAAAAAAAUCCCAGGCGCUAGAUUCCUGUCUACCACCCGAUUAGUGUGCCUUUUAGAACUUUAGUUGUGACCAAUACAUGAGUGUUAAAUUCCCACUUUAGGGUUUCAAAGGGUGGAAAAAAUGGUGGUAACAAAAAAACAUGGUCAGAUAGUUUUUUUAGCCCGGUCCACUAAUAAUUGUUAGGGAGCACAAGUACAAAAAAACACUUUGCUAUGCAGGUCCUUCGUCGCGCAAAGUUAAAAAAACGUUGCCCAAAAAUUAGCACAACGAAACUUUCGUCGCGCGCCAACUGUCACGCCAAGACAGUUACAACAGGGUUUGUGUGACAAAAAAGUAACAUGCCUUGCACAAAACUACUUUGCAUGACAGACAACCUACGUCGUGCAAACCCUUUCUUUUUUUUGGCAAAAAUAUUUUUUUAUUUAAUUUUUUUAUUUAUAAUUAUUGUAAUUAAAUUAUAAAUAAUAAUUAAUAAACCAAUAAAAAAUAUUUAAUUAUAAAAUAUAUGAAAAUGUACAUACAAGAUGUUCGAACAAAAAAGAAAAAACUACAAGAAGUAGUCUUCUACGUUUGAUACAUCAAGCUACUAAAUAUCGACUGGGCGAAGUGGCUGGGAGGUCGAAGGUGGAGCAAGAUCAGAUGCUGGCAUCGGGAUUUGAAGGCCAGACAUCUGUAAAGCUCGUAAGAUCAUACUCAUCUUAUCGUCUUGGGCCGAUAACUAGGCUGCAAUCUCAGCUUCCCGGAUUGCUUCUUGGGCCGCAAGCUGACCUUUUAGGGUUGCCACUUCCUCCGUCAAGGCUGACCUGUCCUAUGGUCGAUCUGGAAAAGGAGGCACCCGUCUCACGAACCCGCGCAUUCCCUGUACACCGAAAAAACUUAAAUUUAGGACAUGUAAAUCAGACCCGUCAAAUUUAGGAAAACAAAUAGAUGAUAACAAUGAAUUAUGAUACAAACUGUCAAAUCUCUACUCUUCCCAUAUACAUUUUGUCCAUAUAAUUUCCGUCACUUUAUCCGAGGCGUGCAUCAAGUACAGAUAAUUCAUAAAUCAAUGAUUUGAAACCAAAGUGAGGAAAUAAAGUGCAUGUGUUUUCCACUAUAACAAGAAAACAGCUCAAUGAAAAAUACGAACAUUGAUGAUAGAAUGUAGUAUAAAUAGAGCAUGUAUAAUAAGUUAAUAACUGAUUGCAAACACGAAAAAAUUAUGACUUACAUGGGUACCGUCACGACCAGUUAAGGGAGAGUCAUUGACACCAAAAGUCAUGGGCACAGUUGAUCACCUACACCGUCAUCACAUAACAAUAACACCAAAAACCACAGAAGGUUCCACAUUGCGGAGAGUUUUUUGGUUUUUGAUUCUCAAAAUGGUAUAUCAUAUGGUCCAGUAGUAAGCUCCAAAGACACAAGUGCAAAUGAAUUAUGCAACUACCACGUUUUUCAAUAGCUACUUUCUAAGUGUCAUCAACACCAACAGUUUUAGUUACACAUACACACACAUGAAAUGGAAAUCCUACGAUAGGGUUUAAUAUAAAUUGAGCUAUAGAACUGAUCACAUUUGGAGAAACUUGAACCACUAAAAACUGUUAUGCACUUAAUAUAAACACUGCAUUCACAAAUGAGAAAGCACACAAGUGUAGUGUGAUGUACUAAAAAAUUACUUGUAGAGUUUUCCAAAAGUGUCUCUCAAGCGAGCAACAUCAGCACCAACAACUUCAGCCACCUUCUUCCCAUCUUGAAAGAGAUGGAAUGUAGGCUGCACCAGAGUACACACAUCAAAUUACAAACCAAAUAGAUCUUGGAUUUUACCAUAUCCAAGUAAAAACAUAUAGAAUUACUAAGAAGCAAAACCAGUAAUAAUCCAUUCAAAAGACCAUCUUAAAAAGAUCAUCCCACCAGUGCCAUGAAUAAAAGAAGCUAUAUAUGAAGAACAAAAUAAAUUGGAAUAUUUUCUUUCAAACAUAAUAAGAGCAAUCAUUUACCACAGCAGAAAUAUUCAACUUGCCCAAAGUGUUUGUAAGUCCUUCCUGUAUAUAGAAUAAACAAGGUUAGGUAUGAAUUUAAAAAAUAAAAAAAAAUCAUGCUCCCAAAUUAAAAAUAAAUGAAAUUACUUUCAAACUAGCUAACCAUUACAUGCCAGAUGGCUAUAAGCCCACAAGUAAAGUUAUUGCUACAACUAACUUGAGAAUUGAAACCCGUAACGAAUAACUAGAUUUCAUAAUUAACAACACUUAACAUAUAACUAGGUUCCAUAAUAACUAGAUUCCUAUGCGAAUGCGCACCUCAUCGAUGUCAAUCUUAUAUGUUGUUGCAUGUGGGUAUUGCUCACUCAACUCUCCAAUGACUGGAGAUAUGAACCUGCCUGCACAAGAGAUCACACCAAAGUACCAAUUUUAAGUUCAAAACACAUAAUUACGCCACAUUUUGUGCCAAUGACUUCGUUGCUUAAAAGAAAACAUAUUUCGAACUUACAAGGCCCGCACCAGACUGCAGUGAAGUAGAAAAGUGCUGGCUCAGCUCCGUCUAUAUGAAAUUUAACAUAUAAAUCAGAUAAUUUGCAUAAAUGUUUGAUAAGUUUUCUCAAAACAAAACAAUUUUGAAAACCAAGAAAAAUUACCCUUAGCUUUGCUGAUUGUGCUGUUGUAUUCAUCCUCUGACUUAAUGACAACAAUGUUUGAGGAACCUGAAAUUCAAGUUAAUCAAGAAUUCAAUUUAAUGAGCUAUUCCAAAACUCAAAAUUCAAAAAUUGAAACUUUGAACAAUGGCUGAAACAAUAACAAAAAUACGGAGUACCUGAGGGCGAGGAGAGAGGUUGGAGCUGCAGAAAGCGAGGGUUUGGGGAGCGGUGGAGGGAAUUGGAGGUGAAAGGGGUUGCUGUGGGCGGUGGAGGUGGUGAGGUGGGGAUUGAAGAAGCCAGGGUUUGGAAAGAACUGGAAGGAAGGCUGUAAUGAUGAAGAAGCGCGGUGCAGAACUUGCUGUGAUUGCCGAGCAAUUGCCGUGCCAUGGCUACACCUGAAUUCCUUGCCAUUUUUCUCUCUCGCAUUGGUUCUUUAUGUAUCAAGCAAAACCCUAACUGUAAAUUCAAAAUCCAAAACCCUAAUUUAUAAAAUGCAAAAAAAUAUUCAACAAAUUGUCUUACCUUAAGAUUGGAGUGGCGAAGUGAGCACUUAGCAGCUAGUGGUGGAGGACGCGACUGGAAGGGGGAAAACGAUGGUGAUUGGCGACUUGGUGAGCGGUGACUGGUGAGAGGCCAUGCAAGAGAGCUUGGGGAGGUGGAAGGAGAGGACGACGCACCUGGUUUUUAGGGUUUCGUUCGGCUUCCGCUAUUCUGCGAGAGAGAGAGAGAGAGAGAGAGUGAGAGAGAGGGACGAGAGACCGACUGUUUUUCAAUUGCAAGGUUUGCACCUCCAUUUUGUCUAAAGUCAUUUACUUUGAGCGACACAGCCUGUGUGUCGCGCAAACGUUCUUUGCACGACACAGGUGCCCCUACGUCACGCAAAGCUAUUUUACGCGACGAAUGCACACCUUUGUCGCACAAGAUUUUGGAAAAAUUUAAACAAAGUGCAUAUUUUUUACAGUUAAACCGCCAAAAUUUUAACACAUUGCAUGACGCAUGCAUACAUUAAGACAUCGCACAAAGUUGGUUUAUGCAACGACCCAUCGUGACGUCGAGCAAGUUUUUUUUUUUUUUUAAAAUUAUUAUAACAUUUACUCAAAAUAUGACUUUACUCCCUUCAAAUUCAAUUUUUUACAUAAAACCCACAAUAAUAUGUUUUUCUAACAAAAACCUGAUCCGAACUACAAUAAUAAAAUUAAAGCUACUUAAUAAAUAUAUAUAUCAUUCAAUUUCUUAAGUGCUAUACGUACAAUAUAUAUAUAUACACACCAUUCAACUUGUGGGGAUACGCAUUCUACGAAACUAGUUUCAAUGAUCGAACCGUCAAACUUGUUUGCAUAUGCUUCGAGAUUGCAUACGCCAAAAAUCACAAAAUAUAAACAUUCAGAGAUCAAGUAACGAGACAUAACUUUUUCGACAGUUAUAAACGAAAAAUCACGAUUUAAUGAUAGUUUUAACUUCGAUUUUGAUGAUCUUUUAUAGCUACACUCUUUGAUCUUAUAUGAAUAUAUUGAAUGAAUUCGAUCUUUAAUUUAAAAUAUUUACACAAGUGGAUACCACAAAAUCUUAUGUUAUACUUAAUGAAAGUAUAAAUAAACUCUAAGUGUUGGUGAAUCUAUUGUUUUGUUGGGAUACGCAUUGUAUGAAACUAGUUUCAACGAUCCAACCAUCAAACUUCUUUGUAUAUACUUCGAGAUCGCAUACGCCAAAAAUUGAAAAAAACAAACAUUCAGAAAUCAAGUAAAGGGACAAAACUUUUCGAUGGUUAUAAACGAAAAAUCACAAUUUAACGGUAGUUUUAACUCUGAUUUUGAUGAUUUUUUAUAGCUACACUCCUUGAUCCUAUAUGAAUAGAAUGAACUAAUUCAAUCGUCAAUUUACAAUAUUUACACAAGUGGAUACAACAAAAUCUUAUGUUAUACUUAAUGAAAGUAUAAAUAAACUCCCAAGUAUUAGUGAAUCUAUUGUUUUGAUGGGAGAUGCAUUGUACAAAACUAGGUUUAAAGAUCCAACCAUCAAAUUUGUUUGUAUAUACUUCGAGAUCACAUACGCCAAAAAUCACAAAAAAAAACAAGCAUUCAGAGAUCAAGUAAUGAGACAAAACUUUUCGACGGUUAUAAACGAAAAAUCACGAUUUAACGGUAGUUUUAACUCCGAUUUUGAUGAUUUUUUUAUAGCUACACUCCUUGAUCCUAUAUGAAUACAAUGAACUGAUUCGAUUGUCAAUUUAAAAUAUUUACACAAGUGGAUACAACAAAAUCUUAUGUUAUACUUAAUGAAAGUAUAAAUAAACUUCAAGUGUUAGUAAAUUUAUUGUUUUGAUGGGAUACACAUUGUACGAUACCAGUUUCAACGAUCCAACUGUCAAACUUGUUUGUAUAUACUUCGAGAUCGCAUACGCCAAAAAUGGCAAAAAACAAACAUUCAGAGAUCAAGUAACGGGACAAAACUUUUCGACGGUUAUAAACGAAAAAUCACGAUUUAACGGUAGUUUUAACUCCUAUUUUGAUGAUUUUUUAUAGCUACACUCCUUGAUCCUAUAUGAAUACAAUGAAUGAAUUCGAUCUUCAAUUUAAAAUAUUUACACUAGUAGAUACCACAAAAUCUUAUGUUAUACUUAAUAAAAGUAUAAAAUAAACUCUAAGUGUUAGUGAAUCUAUCAUUUUAAUGGGUCUAAAUUUUGCAUUUGGUUAUUUCAUAAAGGAGGUAAAGAAACAAUCUUUUAUCGUACGUAUUAUGCAGCAUUUCACAUAAAAACUAGCAAGAGUCAAUAAAAGUCUAAAUGAACUCACCAAAGGAGUAGGUCCUAUGACAACCCUUCCUUGGUCAUUGUAUUGGGAUCCAUGGCAGGGGCAUAAGAACUUGUUCUCCGCCUUGUUAAAUGGCACGACACAACCAAUGUGAGUGCAGACGGCAUUGAUUCUGUAUGUGGCAAGAGUUUUAUCUUUCUCCACAACAAGCACAGCAAACAAAUCAAGUUAAUUUAGUACCUUUUAUUAAUAUAUUUCCCAAAUUUCUCUCUGUUAGCUUUGCACGACGCAACAAGCACAUCAAACAAUUCAAGUUAAUUUAGUACCUUCCAAUAAUAUAUUUAUUGAAACCGGUUUGUAUGGAUGUGUUGUAUAUAUGAGUUGUCAUCCUCACUUUAGCUAAGUCAUGGGCUAAAGUCACUUUCCAUAGCUUGUCAUUCACCUUACAUCAACCUUUCUUAGUUGCUUGUAAAAGUUUCUUUACUUGUAAUUUGGUUUUUACUUUUCCACUUGUUAAGGCAGAUUUUAGGGACUGUGUUUGUGUAAUUAUCCUACAAUCUAUUGUAGCUUUCUUUUGGCUCUCUAUAAGAGUUGUCUUCACUCUCUUGUAAUCUUCAUAAUGAAAUAUACCACAAAUAUUCAAACCAAAACUCAACAUGGUAUCAGAGCAGGAACCAUAGGGUCCUGACUCUGUUCAUUUUUUUUUACUUCUUCAUUUUCUCAUCAUCGAUAAAGAUAGCAGAAGAAAAUGUGUCUAGUGCAGACAGUGCCUUAUCAUCCUCUCCAAACUUAACCCAAGGGGUUAAGAACAAUCCAAAUCAACGACUCUGCUUGGUGCUCCUGAAUGAGUUCAACUACCUUCCUUGGUCAGUAGUUGUGUCACUUGCUCUAGGAGGAAGAUCGAAGCUAGGUUUUACCAACUUACGAUGCAUGGCAUGCUACUGAUCAGCUGGUCAUGUCCUGGUUACUUAACUCCAUGGAGCCAAAACUGUUUGAGUUUUUCAGCUACUCAAAGUCUUCCCUUCUCCUAUGGGAGUUUGUCAAAGACAUGUAUGGCAGCCAAAAUAACUCAGUUCGCAUCUUUCAACUGAAGAAGAAUAUGGCUAGUUUAAAGCAAGGUGAUCACUCAUUUGUUCAACACCUUGGAAGUAUGAAAUCCAUGUGAACUCGAUAUGUAUCAUUCACACACGACUGAUUACGAUGUGCUACUGAAGAGGGAUGAUGAAGACAAGGUGUUUCAACUCUUAGCAAGCUUGGGAGCAGAGUAUGAAGACAUGCGUAGUCACUUGUUAAUGACUCAAGAGCUGCCCUCCUUUACCAGUGUGUGUCAUGCAGUCCAGAGAGAGGAAACUCAACGAAGAGUGAUGAACGUUGAGCCCAAAUCCAACUCUGAAGCUAGGGUUUUCACGACAAAUCACAAAGUAACUGGUGAUAGGUUGCUUGGCAAGAAAGCAGACUGGAAAUGGUCUUAUUGCAACAUGAAGGGACAUUUGAGAGAAAAAUGUUGGAUUCUUCAUCCGGAGUUAAAGCCGAAGUUUGAUAGGAAAGGCAGGAUGAUCAAAGAUGAGAAGGGUGUAGACACUCCAAAAGCAUUUCAUUCAGCUUGUUCCUCAACUGAUGGGAUGGCCAAUUUCUCAACAAAUCAUGUGUCCUUGAUCAACCAGUUUGCUGCUAUUCUUCAAAAGAAGCAAGGAAACACUGAACCUGAUGAAAUGACACUUGAAAACCCUACUACAAUGCUAGGAAAAUUUGCUGGAUUCUUGGCUGACUUGGAGAACACAUCGAAAGGCAAUAUUCCAAGUAUUAUUAGUGCCAUUUCCACUGCUCUUAAUGCAAAUGUUACACAUGAUUUUUGGAUUAUUGAUUCUGGUGCCACUGAUCAUAUAACUAAUAACCCUUUAGUCUACACGAUUUUCAAAUAACUAUUGAUCCAAUUCAUGUAUCUAUUGCAAAUGGGAAAGGAGAACCUAUUCUAGGAAAAGGAAAGAUUAGAUUGCUAAGUGAGCAUACUGAUUCCACUGCUCUCUAUGUACUUUUCUUUCCUUUUCAACUUUUGUCAAUAGGAAAAAUCACAAAAACCUUAGUCUAUCUUGCCAUAUUUUCCCCUCACAAUGUUGUGUUUCAGGAUCGAGUUACUCAGAAGAAGAUUGGUGAAGGGUUCUUCUUGAAUGGACUCUACCAUCUCUCAAAUAAGUCCAAUUUUGUCAAAAAGCUCAAUGUCAUCUUAAGUCAAGUUCAGGAACAUCAACUCUGGCAUCAAUACCUUGCCCAUCCCUUAGAACAUGUGAUGAUCAAGUUGUUUCCCUUUUUUUGCAAAAACACAACUUGUCAAAUGUCAAUAGCCACUAGACUUCCUUUUGUUUCCUCUAAUUCUAGAACUAGUAAACAUUUUGAGCUUGUUCACUCUGAUAUUUGAGGUCCUUCUCAUGUAGAAUCCUUUGAUGGGUAUAUUUAUUAUGUUACAUUUAUUGAUGACUAUUCUAGAGUAACCUGGUUGUAUCUUUUAAAACUUAAAAGUGAUUUGUUUGAUGUUUUUAAGGACUUUCACAACCUAAUCACCAAUCAAUUUUCGUCUAAGUUAUAUAUGUUAAGAUCAGAUAAUGGUAUCGAGUACACUUCCAAUAACAUGAGUAAUUACUUGAGCAAUCAUGGCAUUUUGCAUCAAACUAGCUGUGUUGGUACACCACAACAAAAUUAUGUGGCAGAGAGAAAGAAUCGAGACUUAUUGGAGAAGACUCGAUCACUUAUAAUCCAAACGAAUGUUCCUAAGAAAUUUUAGUCUCAAGCCCUACUCACUGCCACGUACAACAUUAAUAGACUGCCAACUCAGGUGUUGAAUACUAAAUCUCCUUUCGAAGUCAUGAAAGGCAGUCCUAUAAACUUGUCUCACCUCAGGACGUUUGGUUGUACUUGUUAUGUGCACAUUCAAGCUCUCUAUCGUGACAAACUUGUGUUGGAAAUAUGCCCUGAAAGUCAAUCUUUGGAAGAAACCUUUCAGGACAAUGAAUGGAUGUAUAGAUGACUCUUAUACAUCAAAUGGCAAAGAUACUAAUUAGGACUAUCUCUAUAAACGAUAUAUGUCCUAAAUAGUGAAUCCAUGGACAAUAGAUCGAUUGAAGAAGUAAUCUAAUGAUGUUAGACUACAGAGACCUUCUUCACAUAACCAUCAUGUCCAAAAGGUUCCUGGUCAUAGGAUUGUUGGAGGGAUACUGACAAUGCAUAGACCGGUACAUACUAUGUCCGCUUCAAUUGGAAGGAUGGAAAGUCUCAUCCCAUUCGUGUAGUGACACUAAGACAAGUAUGUAGGUGCUCAUUAAGGGAAUGAGUUCACUGAACACAAUCGAACGAGAGUACUUGCAUGGAGGUCUACUCACAUGUCAGGCAAGUAACUCUAAUUGUUGGAAUAAUGUAAGUAGUCCUUUGACCUGAGGCAUCAUCGUUGUCUUGUGGUUAAGUACUUGAUCUUUGAUUAUGUCAAAGUCACUCCAUUCGCGGGUGUCCACGACAUAGUUAGGGUUAAGCCACUUAGUCAUGAAGGCAAGUGAAUGCGCAACAAGGAAUCUCUAAUCCUCAUUAAGAAAGGAAGAAUACUCUAAGAUAUGAUUCGGGAAUCUUCGGCCAAAGUAUCGAGCAUAAUAAAGGAAAGCGUUCCUAUACGACUCAAUUGAAUCAUAUAAGAAGGAAUAAUCACAUUAGGGGUUUGACAUAAUAUAUCCAUACCCUAGUGAUGUGAUUGAGAGUAUUGUUUUAGAGAAGGAUCGAAUUACAUUGUAAUUCCAACUGAAUAGGUUCUCCGAACAACUUCUACAUUAGCUUGGGUAGCCAUGAUAUAUCGUUAGAUGUCACUCAUGGCUUGUGAGUUCUUCUAGAUGAUUAAAUGUAAUCAUCAAAGAAGAAGGUGAAUUAAAAGUAGGCUUUAAUUCACUAAGUGAUUGGAUUAAAUAUAAUCAAUUGGAUUGGUUCCAAUCACCUUAAAAGUAGGUUUUAAUUCACUAAGUGAUUGGAUUAAAUAUAAUCAAUUGGAUUGGUGCCAAUCACCUCACUGCCUUGCUAAUUAAAACCUAAAACGAUUGUUCACCAAUACACUCUUGUAGUGAGUAAUUACUGGAUGAUGGAAAUAAUUAAUUAGAUUAAUUAAGUGUUGUGAUUAAUUAGAAAGUCUAAAGAAAUCAUAAAAGCGAUAUAAGAUCGUUUUGGGCUUAAAGAAACGUUCGGGUUUAAUUGGGCCCAUUGGGCCUAAACCCAUUGGGCUUUUAUUCAAGCAUUGGAUGACUUGAAAUAAAUAAAAGCCCAAAGCCCAAACAACACAAAGGGGGCCGGCCAAAGGAGGGAUAGAAAGGUCAAAUGUUGACUUGUUUCUUUUUGGCUAUAAAAGGAACUUUAUAGCAAAUGUUUCAUUAGGGUUUUUGGGUGUUCAAAACAACUAAAGAGAAAAAAGAAAAUAACUCUUUCUUCCACACCAAAGGCCGGCCACCAUAGGGAGAUUUUAGCUAAUCAUCUUUUUCUCCCUUUGGUUAUUCCUUUAUCCUUCUCAUUACACUAGUGGGUGAGGAUCUUUAGAGGUUUUCAAUUUUGGAAACUUGAAAAGAACCUAGGAGCACUCAUUCUAAACAAAGUGGAUGAGGCAAGGAAGGAGUGUCACGCCCCGGACCUGGGGUCGGUAGUAAAAAAACUCGAUCCCGAGUCCGAAACGCGAGUUAAAAGCUAAAUAAAUAAAAGGAAAUUGACACGGGUUGGAAAAUUAAACUCCUCUUAUAAAAACAAAUCCAGAAUUCUUUACAAAGCUAAAAAUAAAUAAAUACAAUUCUAGCCUCACAUCUAAUUCGAUCUCAUCCCGUCUACUCUUUUGACAGUUUAGUUAGUAAACCUGCAUAACAAUAGAGGGGUGAGCUUCAACAGCUCAGUAGGGACAUAACCUUAUCACAGUAAAUUGACAAUAUUAAAUUAAGUGUAAUAAAAUCAUGUAAUCAAGUACCAAAUCAUUAUCAUCAACAAUGCAUGAGUGCAAUACAAUACUCUUCAUCUCUACCCGUUAAUUCAUAUAAUAAAACACGCGGACCUGCACGUCCCAUACCGUGCAUUUUACCUCUGCAGUGGUGGUUCGAAUAUUUUAAUAUACAAAUUAACCCCAUGUAACUCAAUCAUCCCAAUUUCCCCUUUUGUUAGUCAUCUUGCCAAAACCCUUCGUCGCCAGUCCCGAAUUACCCUUAAAGAAUCUGUGCACUGUGGGCUCACCUGAGACCUGGUACCUGCUAAGAGUUUGGCUCAACUACACAAAAGAUUAUUUCCAACUACCCUCAUUUCCAGAAUUCCUUCCUCAACACCAAAACUCCUACCACAUGACCAAUUAUGAAUGAUUAACAUAUACCACAGUAUAUUCUCAACCAAUAGCAUUUCAUCAAUAAUUCCAUAACCAAUAACAAGUAAACACGCAGGGGCAUUAUUUAUCCAAUUAGCAAGCCAAAUCACAUUAAUCAACCAAGAAGAUCGAUAAUAAUAAUAUAAUGUUUCACGAAAUUUAAUAAAGUCAAUCUCCGUAAAGGUCCGCCGUAUUUCCCCUACCUGGAGUCCAAAGCAAACAAGCAGUGUCCCUUACCAACACCUUGAUUACACACAACCGUCGCGGUAACUGGAGUUCCUAAUCCAACAAUAAAAAUAUAUCACUAUAUAAUCCAUUAUAUAGCACCAAAUGUAAAAUCCUAUAUUUUGGAAUUCCCAAGUUAGGCUUAGCAUCUCUUAUUCCAAUUUGGAUCUUCAGAUUUAUAUAAUUUCACUUAAGUACUCAAAUCUUUAAAAAUAAGCUUCCUGUCCCUAACCUGUACAGCAAGUACAAUCUGUCCGAAAAAAGUUCCCAGAAUUAUAGUUUACCCCAAACUUUCGGGUAAUUACAAAACUGUCCUAAAUGUUCAGAGAACUGUAAAAUGGCCCCAAAUCUGAAACUCAUCUUUCAAGUUGGUCCCUACUGCAGAAACAGAAACAGUACAGCCGACCAUGUUUCCAAAUUCAUGUUGCUCCUCUUUCAGUCCAAAAUAUUUCCAACUUCAAUUCAAAUACUCAUAUUUAUACGAUUCAAUUACUUCAAAGUAGGCCAUCAUUCCUUUUAAUUUAGUCGAAUAAUAUCAAUACCCCAAAUCCACAAACUUGAACAUGGAUGGGGUUUAACAGCAACUAACCCAUAGGCAAAUUUAUCUCAAUUCAUUCAAUUAAGCUUCCAAUACGCUUAAGCCAUCACGAAUAACACAUGAAUUCGAAAUAUUACGCUGUGUAGUAAUAAAUCCAAAAAUGGCAACUUCCAAAAUCUGUAGUAAAUCCAUAAAUUAGUACCUGAGAUUUGUAGUACUCUUCCCCAUAAAUUCGUAAGCGAAAACGGAAUCAAAUCCGGACUUCCAAAUCAAAAUUUAUGAGGAAAACGGUAUUUGAUUUGGACAAUGAGAUGAAGCUCCUUGCUUCCUUCCUCUCUGCAUCUUUCUGCGAAGAGAAGAAGAAAUAUGAAGCCUUAGUUCCAUCUGAAAUGAUCCACCGCUUCUUCUCCUUUUAUUUAUCUCUUUUGGUGCAAUGGUAGCUUUCCAAGUGGCAACACAAAGACUUAUGAUUUCUCUUUAAUUUAUCAUAUUUGACAUGUGCCAUCAUAUGAUGAUAACACCACCAGCAUGUCAUCCAAAUGCUGGCUUCUCCAGCAGCUAGCACUUGGCAAUCUUGCCACUCGUUGGCUGUCAUGUGGUGUUCUAACAUUUGUCAGGCUUGGACAUUCUAUCAAAAUUUCAUUAAAGUCCCGAAAACUAAUCCGAAAAAUGAUACGAACUCGAAAUAACGUUUACUACCUUCAUAUGAAAACCUUUUUGAUAAAUAAGCACAACAUAUUUUUUUUUUUCCAAAUAUUUCUCUUUUUUAAUAAUAAAUUAUUGGGAUAUUACAAGGAGGCUAGGCUCAAGGAGUUCAAGGAGCAAAGGGCUUGGAGGUGGUCCAUCCUUGGUCUAAGAUCUAGAUCAAGAGGUAUAAAACUACUCCUAAACUUUGUUCUUAUAUAAGUUUGGUUUUGAUGCAUCUUACAUAAACCUAUGCAUCUUGAAGGGGAUUUGCAUGACUAUUGCUUUGAUAUUAUUUGAUAACAUGCUUCCGUUGCUUUCGUAUAUAAAUUUUGAAUUGUAUAUGCAUGCUAGUCAUUAGAAAUUCCGCAUGAAUCUCAUAGAAUUCCUUUCAACUUGACCCUCGAGCUGUCAAAUGUAUGUUUAUGGGAUACGCCAGUUCUUAAAAGGGUUAUAAAGUGUACAACCCUAACAUGGGGAAACUGGCAGUCUUUAGAGAUGUGCGAUUUGAUGAAUAUUCACCUUAUUUCCACAAAGGGUUGGAGACUAAUGCUAAUAUGGAAGAUCUUAUGGACCUAUUUCCACUACCUAUUCCAGCAGAAAUUCAUGAAGCCACUCAUUCUCAUAUCAUCACUGAGAAUUCUCAACUCACUGAGAGUGUAAUUAAUGCAGUGCCAAGCUCCUCUGGACCAUCAGAAGCUCAACCAAAUCAGCAAGCUAUAAGUGCACCUAGAAGAAACCCUACACGAGAUAGACAUCAACCAGUGAGGUUACAAGAGUAUGUUACUUACACUGCAAGGCAUCCUAUCUCUGCAGCCAUUUCUUAUCAUAGAUUCUCAUCUUCCCAUACUUCUUUCCUUAACAAAUUGUCCUAUACUUUCGAACCAAGGAAUUUUCAUGAACCCACAUGCAUGCCUGAGUGGCAAGAUGCUAUGACUAAAAAGCUUUAAGCUCUGAAUGACAACUAAACAUGGAGUGUGGUGGACCUUCCAAAUGGCAAGAAGUUCGUGGGAAAUAGGUGGAUAUAUAAGACCAAAUUCAACUCUAAUGGAAGCAUUGAAAAACACAAGGCACGAUUAGUAGUUCAAGGCUUUACUCAAACCUAUGGGAUUGACUAUAAGGAGACCAUUGCUCCUGUUGCCAAAAUGAACACAGUGAGGGUAUUGUUGUAUGUGGCAGUCAAUAAUGCAUGACCUUUAUUCCAAAUGGAUGUGAAGAAUGCAUUUCUUCAUGGGGAUCUUGAAGAAGAAGUGUACAUGAAGUUGCCUUCUGGUCAUCCAAGAGCAAAGGAACCCAACAAGGUCUAUAGACUUCAUAAAGCCAUAUAUGGUCUCAAACAGUCCCCUUGAGCUUGGUAUUCGAAGCUUAGUUCAGUCCUUGAAGCUGUAAGGUUCAAAAUGAGUCAUGCUAACUCUUCUUUGUUUGUUCGAAGUGGUAUUGCUGGCAAAUUGGUUGUGCUUAUAUAUGUUGAUGACCUAAUUAUUACAGGUGACAAUAUAAGUGAAAUCAAGGCGCUUAAGCAGCCACUUCACCAAAAAUUUGCCAUUAAAGACUUGGGGCCCUUGAAAUACUUUCUUGGAAUUGAGGUACAACCUUUUCAAAGGGAUUGUUCUUGAAUCAAAGAAAGUAUGUUCUCGAUCUUCUAGAUGAAGCUAACAUGAUGGAAUGUAAACCAGCUUGAACACCUCUAGCUAGCAAACUUUAGUGGCAUGAAAAAGGUGAACCUCUCUCGGACCCUAGUGUUUAUCAGCGAAUGGUUGGGAAACUUAUUUAUCUCAUCAUUACUAGGCCUGAUAUCUCAUAUUCAGUUAGCCUAGCCAGUCAGUUCAUGCACUCUCUUACUUUAGUUCACUGGGAAAUCGUCAAGAGAAUACUUCGAUAUCUCAAAGGCUCAGUAGGAAGGGGAUAAUUAUGAAGAACAAUGGAUCAACUCACAUCUUGGCCUACACAAAUGCUGACUGGGCUGGAAAUGCCCUUGAUCGAAAUCCAUAACAGGUUUUUGCACAUUUGUUGGAGGGAACCUUGUCACUUGGAAGAGCAAGAAAUAAACUAUUAUUGCUCGAUCUAGUGCCGAAGCUGAGUAUAGGGCUAUGACAGCAACAGCCUGUGAACUCAUAUGGUUGAAAGGUCUUCUUUCCGAGCUCGGAUUCACAAGCAUGACACCUAUGUCCUUGUAUUGUGAUAACCAAGCUGCCAUGCACAUUGCCUCCAAUCUAGUAUUCCAUGAAAUGACCAAACAUAUUGGAGUUGACUGCCAUUGUAUUCGUGCUCAAGUUCAAUCCAAGGUGAUAGACACCAUGUUCACACGCAGCCACGAUCAACUUGCUGAUUUAUUCACAAAAGCACUAGACUCUACUCAGUUUCAGCGUUUGUUGUGCAAGCUUUGAUCAAUCAAUCCCCUUGAUCCAGCUUGAGGGGGUGUAUUGAAACCGGUUUGUAUGGAUGGGUUAUAUGUAUAAGUUGUCAUCCUCACUUUAGCUAAGUCAUGGGCUAAAGUCACUUUCCAUAGCUUGUCAUUCACCAGUCACUUUCCAUAGCUUGUCAUUCACCUUACAUCAACCUUUCUUAGUUGCUUGUAAAAGCUUCUUUACUUGUAAUUUGGUUUUUGCUUUUCCACUUGUUAGGGCAUAUUUUAGGGAUUAUUUUUAUGUAAUUAUCCUACAAUCUAUUGUAGCUUUCUUUUGGCUCUAUAAGAGUAAGAGUUGCCUUCACUCUCUUGUAAUCUUCAUAAUGAAAUAUACAACAAAUAUUGAAACCAAAACUCAACAAUAUUUCCCAAAUUUCUCUCCGUUAGCUUUGCGCGACGCCACCUCCGUCGCACAAAACUAUUUUGCACAAUAGAGGGGUACCUACGUCGUGCAAAGUUGAGAAAAAAGUGGUAAGGUAUUCUUGCUUUGGCGUCAAAAUCUUGCACGACACACAAGAGGUGUCACGCAAACGGCGUUUACGCAAAGGCCGUUUGUACGACGUUUUGUGUUUAGCGUUGCGCAAACAUACUUUGCGCGACGAAAUUUGCUCCAUCGCGUAAACAUGUUUUUGUUCUAGUGGAGAAACACUUCAAAACAAACUGUGGACAUGAAAACUUUAAAUGUCAAAUGCUGCCACGAUAAUAACACUUGGAACUAGGUUUUUUUUGUUUUCCUUUAAAAUGUUGCUUUAAAUAUAAUUUUCUUUUCCAUGUCUAUUUAGAGAAGAUGAUGAAAGAAUUUCAUUCAUAUAUACGGAAACUCAAACGUUAGGAAAUUAGACCAUAAAGUAUUUGUGUAAUUUCCAUGUUUGGUUUACAGUAAUGAGAAUACAAAACUUGUUCACUUACUUUUAUUAGGGUAAAUUGGACAAAAACAAUGCAUAAAAGUUUUCCCAACGUAAGUAAGGAAAAUGUAUGAAAUUCCCUCUGCAUGUGAAGUUCAUACUCAUUUGACAAGUAUCACAUUCCCAACAAUAUGUUUACAAAACAUCGGAAUGGUAUCUCAUACUCCUUACCAUAAUCCGAAUUUACAAAUCGCAAAUCAAACGAUAGUUUAAGUAUUUUUUUUUUCUAUAAAAUGGAGCUCUCGGAACUUAUUUGUGAAAAGCCGUCCCAUACUUAAUCGAAUACUAAUCAAGUAGUACCAAUUACAUGUUUUUUUUUUCUUUCAUUGAAGGGAAUCGAUACUCAUUAUAUUGCAAGCUCACUUUCUUUCACUAUUUACUAUAAGUCUGUAACCCAAGGGUUUUUGUUCUAGAUAUUACAUGCAUGUUCAAACGACUGCUAGAUUUCAAUGUUAACAUCAGACAGUCUAUUGGAUUACCAAACACAUGCAUUAAUAUCUUUGAAAUGAGAGGUUUUACAGGUUAAAGUUCAGCAUCCACACAGAUCAGAUAAUUAAUGAUGUUGGUUCGAUCAGGUAGUAUUGGAUCUUAGGUUUUUUCUCUCGUUUGGUCCCGAAAAGGAAAACAAAAACCUUUUUCACACAAAUACCAGAAUUCUAUAGUCUCUAGGAAAAUCAUAGCUGGAGCACUCUCAUCAUAUAUGAAUAUCGCAGAUGUGAUACAUAAGCCCCUACGUACUCUCAAAGAUAGGAAUAUAUAUAUAAAUUUUUAUUAUAACCCAUUAUUUCCGUUUUGUCACCUUGUCGCAAAAUUUGUCACGUUUUGUUGGCAUUGCAUAUGUUCUCACAAAUGUGAUACGACCGCCAAUUAAAGUCAAUGUAGUGCGUAUAUGUUUUUGUUUUAUUUGGCUGAAAAUUAUGCAUAUUGAUAUAGAGAAUUGUUAUUAGCAUGCAGUUAACCGAAUUAAUCUGCAUAUAUUUAAUUUUAUUUUCUUAAUUAUAAUUAAUACGUGUAACAAUAUAAAUUGUUAGUUAUUUACAAGUUAUCGUGUUUCCACCACAUGAAAACAAAACCUGAUUAGUUUAAGUGUCCCUUUGGAGAACAAUUGAGGGGUACCAUUUGGAGAAGGCAGCAAUUACUACUUUGGUGCUCUCCUUGGGCUGCCUCAUUUGUACUUUUUUUUUAGCAAUCACUCAUAUUAGUACUAUGUUAUGUAGCUUUUGGGGAAGAAAUGAUGCAGCCCAAGGAGAGCACCAAAGUAGUAAUUGCUGACCCAAACCACAUGAAAUGAAGCCAUACCAACUCAUAUUAGUACUAUGUUAUGUAGCUUAUGGCUUCACACAAACCGAGAACUGACCCAAACCAACUCGCCACUGUUGAUUAACCGACUUGAUUGGUUUUAAACCCAACUUGAUCGGUUUCGGUUUGCAAUUUUGACACAACCGACUAGGUCAGUUUGGUUUUGGUUUUAGCCCAAAACCGACCCAAACUAACCCACACCCACCCCUAGGCCAAACUUAUGAAUUUCCCAUCACAUACUUGAAGAAAAGAGGCAUCCAUAGUUUGGUUAUUCUCCAUUUGUGUAUUAAUAUAAUCAAAGUCUUACCAUUCUCUUGUUUUGUAAAAACCUCAUUAUUAAAAAAUUAGACACAUGUACAACAGGGCCGGCCCUGGCCCAGGGCUAGCAGGGCAACCGUCCGGGGCCUUAAAAACUUGAGGGGCACCAAAAAUUGAUAGGGUAGUAUAUUCAUAUAUAUAUAUAUAUAUUUCCAUAAGCAUAUAAAUUUUGAAACCUUGGUUAAAUCUACAAGUACCUAAGGCAGAAGCGGUGGUGUUUCACUGCUUACUUAACAAGACGGUCGUGUUCGAAACCCGAUGUGUUCAUUUGUUUUCCAAUUUUUUACGAUAUUCUGUUUGGGAUCAAUGCAAGGCACCUUAUGCUUUUCCUUUCAUGCCUUUCCCCUCACUAUUUAACAUCGGGAUGUAAUUUGUACAACAAACUAAAUAGUUAACUUAAUGCUAAGAACUCAUUAAAAUACAAAUAAUUAAUAAAACAAUAAAAUAGAAAUAUGGUGCCCAACACCUAUUAAUGUUCUUCCUCAACCCUUUUGUUGUCUCUUUUAACUUUCCUGGGCAGCGGCUAUAAGCCAUGCCUCUCAAUUUCUCUUAUUUUAUUUAUAAAGAAAUAUAAUUAUAAACAUGAAAAUUUCCUGAAAUGAAGGAGACAAGAACACGUGUACAAAAUAAUAUUUUGUAUUUGAUGAUUUUGGGUUACAAUCUCUCUCAAAUAUGAUCAUCUGAUUCGAUCUCCGUAAGGUGUGUAUUUGUGGAUGUGCAUUGAUCCAGGGGCCAUCGAGGCUUGAUCUUGGAUGAACGGUUGAAAGUUUCUUCAAGGGCCGUUGAGGCUUGAUCUUGAAUGACAGUGAUGAACGGAUCUUCAAGGGCGUUUGAGGCUUGAUCUUGAUGAACAGUUGAUGGAUGGAUCUUCAAGGGCUUUUGGGCUUGAUCUUGAAUAAUGGUGAUGAACGGACCUUCAAGGGCUUUUGGGUUUUGAUCUUGAAGGACGGUUAGAUGUGUGGAUUUGUCGACGUUGUUGAUCCAAAGAGCCGUUGGGGCUUGAUCUUAGGAUGAACAGAUGAUGAACGAUGAACACUUUCUUCAAGGGCCGUCAGGGCUUGAUCUUGAAUUGGUGGAAGUUCUUCAAAGGGACGUUGGGGCUUGAUCUUGAAGGUUGGGUUGACGAAGAACGAAGAGAGCUUUCUUGAUCCUUCGGGAUUUGCUUGGGAGCUUUGGAGUUUCAAAGUUUCAAGGUUUUGGUGUGAGGUGAAUUGGUUAUGAAUUCGUUCUUUUUCUCCCUUCAAAUGAAUGAAUUAGCCUUCUAUUUAUAGAAAUUUCCAAGGCCUAAUUUUGAAUAUAAUAUUCCAGAUGAAAUAAGUCGUUUCUGCCAGGUGUUGACAUGUGUCCUAUUUGAUGACUUUUCCGACUCUUUUCGAUUUUUCGUUUAGUCACACGCUACGUGUAAAAUUUAUGUGACACGUGAGCGUUGAAAUUGUAACUAUUGGUCAACAUUUAUUUCACCGAAAUUUCGAUGUCUACAAAUGCCCCCACUUCAAGGCGUGUCGUAUACAUGUGCUUGUCGCGUGUAGGAGAUGCGUUUUGAAGUCCCUUAAUGUAGAUGUCGACCCAAGGGCCAUCGAGGCUUGAUCUUGAAUUGGGCUGGAGAUUUCUUCAAGGGCCGUUAAGGCUUAAUCUUAAAUUGGGCUUGAGAUUUCUUCAAGGGCUGUUGAGGCUUGAUCUUGAAGGUUGAAAUUGGACCACAAGGAACUUCAUGUGGUAGAUGAUCUUUGGCUUUUAGUGGAUGAAUUGGCACGUAUUUGUUUUUGUGCUUGUUGACUUUCCACAACUUUGAUCUUGAACUGGGUUGCAAGAUUUUCUGGAUUCCUCCAAUUGUUGACUUUCCACAGCUUAUUCUUGAACUAGAUUUGAUUCAAUGGUGGUGGACGCUUGAUCUUGAAUUAGACUUGUGAUUUCCUUAAGGGCCGUCGAGGCUUGAUCUUGAAUUUAGCUGGAGAUUUCUUCAAGGGCCGUUGAGGCUUGAUUCUUGACGGUUGACUCGAACACAUGGCAAGCAGGCACGAGGUGAAGGUGACGACUUGUUGCUUUGUUUAAUCUUUCUAAUUCACACCUGAGCAGUUUGGUCAACGGUAUGAUCUUCAAGAUUGAUGGGCUCUUCUUCCAGUUGGUGACUUGAUCUUUAAGGAUUUGAUUCAAGGGUGGUGAAUCGGCACGUGCAGCCCACAACGCCUAGCGAGUCGACCCAAGAAUUUGAGGGUCAAAACGAGUCCUCCACCCAGAGUGAUUGCAACCCUGAUGAUAUGAGAUACUUUUGAUUUUGAAGAAGUAGCGGAUGAAUCGGCACGUGCUUUGUUGUGCUUGUCUCCACAUGCUUCAAUGUAUCAUUUUCCCUUGCCUUAUCUAUUCUUCUGGCAGAAUGUGGCAUCUUUUCGAGUUCCUCAGCUCAGACUCAUUCUGCUGAGUUGACUGUGCAGGCUGCAUUCUUCUCUGCUUGUUUCUUCUGCACGUUGUCUCCACAUGUUGCAAGGUAUCAUUUUCACUUGCCUUAUCUGUUCUCCAGGCAGAUGUGGCAGCUUCUUUGGAAGUACAACAACAGUGGAAGACGAGUACUCGAGCAAAACCAUGUAAGCAACCAGACAAAGGUUCCAGGUAGUCGGCAACCAUUGAGUGAUUGAUUAAUAUGGCUUCACAUGCUCUUUUUUUUCAUCAGAAAUCUUCGACAAUUUGUCUGUAAUUUUUGCCAAGCUGAGUGUGCAUGUGACAGGUGUUGACGAGGCUGAAAAAGAUUGGCGCCUCUUCGAUAUCUGGGAUCGACGCUUCGACAAACUGCCCGUGAUUUCCGCAAAGCUGAGUGUGCAUGUGACAGAUACUGACACGUCUGGAAAAGCAGAUGCCUUUCCGAUUUCUGAGCUUACCUCUUCAAGUUCUAAGCUCCGUCGAGUGCAGAGGUUGCAUGUGACAAGUGCGGACAAAUCUGGAAAUGAAGAUUAGCCCGUGGUUUCUGAGCAAGCCCAGCUUUUGAGAAAGCUAGCACCUCUUCGAUUUUUGAAUUGGCCUCUUCGAAUUCUGAGCUUGCCUUUUCGAACUCUGAAAUCCCGUCGAGUGCUGAUUUUUAUAGAGGCACGCAGUUCGUUUCAAGCACACUUGAAUUUUCGCUUAUAGAAACUCCCUUCUUGCACUUCUAAGAUCUUGAUUUGUCCGACCUCUUCUUUCUUCAACACCUUUGAAAAUGUCUGGCCCUUCUGACCGUCGUUUUGACUUGAACCUUGGUGAAGAGGCAGUCCCACCUUCUCUAGACAACAUAUGGCGCCUAUCCUUCAUAUCCCCUACUGGUCCUCUUACCGUUGGGGAUUCGGUGAUGAAGAAUGAUAUGACCGCUGCAGUGGUGGCCCGGAACCUUGUCACUCCCAAAGAUAACAGACUGUUUUCCAAACGGUGUGAUGUGUUGACUGUUAAGGAUUAUCUGGCUCUCAGUGUGCAGUGUGCAGGUUCUGUGUCUAAUAUGGCCCAACGUCUAUUUGCUCGAACCUGUCAAGUUGAAUCAUUGAAGGCUGAAGUGAUGAGUCUCAAACAAGAGAUUAGAGGGCUCAAGCAUGAGAAUAAACAGUUGCACAGGCUCGCACAUAACUAUGCUACAAACAUGAAGAUGAAGAUGGACCAGAUGCAGGAAUCUGAUGGUCAGAUUUUACUUGAUCAUCAGAGGUUUAUGGGUUUGUUCCAACAGCAUUUGCCUUCGUCUUCUAGGGCUGUACCGCGUAAUGAAGCUCCAAAUGAUCAACCUUCGGUGCCUCCUCCUCCUGGGGUUCUGCCUAGUAUUGAGGCUCUAAAUAAUCACCCUCUGGUGCCUCCACCUUCUGGAGCUCCGCCGAGUACUGAGACGCCACCUGAGCAAUGAAGACUCUCUCCCGUUUAUUUGCACAUUGUUUUUGUAAUUUUUAUUUUAUUUUAUUUUAUUUCAUGUAAAUGUACGUUUCUGUAAAUUUUUUUUAGAGAAAUCAAUAAAUGAGCUUUGUUUCACUCAGUGUACAUUUUUUUUUCACAUGGUGUCAAAAGCACCAAAGGACUCUAUUUUUUUUCACAUGGUGUCGUCCACCAUCAUUUUUUUAUUAUUUUUUAUUUUUUAUUUUUUUUUGCUUUCAGUGGUGCUCACAGCCACCACCAUCAUGAACCUUUCAACUUUAUUUUAUUUUAUAUUAUUAUAUAUAUAUAUUUUUUUUCUUUUCCGUCUGCUUUUGGUGCCAGAUGCACCAUGUCUCCUCUUUUCCAUUUUUUAUAUUAUAAUUUUUCCAUGCACACAUACAUACAUACGUACAUACAUAUAUACAUAUAUAUAUAUAUAUAUAUAUAUAUAUAUAGGGUGCAGGAUAGGAGCUUGGAGGAGGAAGAAGGUGGAGCACGGAGGAGGAGGAAGAUGACUUGCUUGCUGCCUGCAGCAGGUCCCAGAUGGACAGCGGCGACUGAGUGUUUGGGCUUCCGUGGCUCAAGCUCUGUCCACAACCCCAACCACUGCGUAGAGUGUUGACUGGGGAGAACCAGAAGCGACCCAAUCCUUUGGCUUCUCGAAGGCGAGCUGGGAGAGGUAUAACGACUAUGGUAAAGGAAGAUUGAGUACUGCGGCUGACGUCCUGGAGAAGCGUGGGUGAUUCGAGCAUCAAGCCCAACUCGAAAACCGACAGCGGGGAGCAAAAACGAAGGUGAAGCAGCAGCCUAUUCAUCCCUUUACCACGGGAGAUCAAACUCUGAGCCACCUCAAACAAUCCCUUACUGGCAGCAUAAUGAAGGGCAGGUCAACCGCCGUCCGUCUUCAUUCGUGCUGUUUAUCACACUUGUUAAUUCAUCAGCAUCAAACAUCAGCUUCACUACCUCGGAGCGACCUGAAGAGACAGCAACGCAGAGGAGAGAGAGAAGGCGGAAGGGUAGAGAUAUCUGACUGAUCCCCGGAGAGCCUGAGCUUUUUCCUGCACGCCUCACCAUCUUCCACUUAUUUUUUGCUUCUUUUGCUGUUGACGUUUAGAUUCAUUACUUCUCUUCUUAUCAGCUUUGGAUCGCUUUAAUUGAUGAACCCUUUUCUGUAGUGGAUCAAAGGGGUAGUUAGCCUCAAGCUUGAACUCUUGAACGCACCUUAUUACGGCUUUCAGUGCAGCAAGCUCUUUUGCAUUAACAUCAUCAUGUGCACCAGUACCAUCUCGUGUGCUGUCUCAAGGUUGCGGAAAUGCUCUUCAAUUUCUUUCCACCGAACCCGGUCCUCAGAAGUAUCAUUGGGUGCAUUUAGUUCCUAGUAAUGCGUCACCAAGCUGAUCGAUUAGAGAGCUUGGUGCAUCACUUUCCAGAACUUGUUUCACAUCAACCAUGGUUAAUGCAAAUCUACACCUGAGAAUGAUUCACACAGAGUGCCUAAACAGGUCUGAGACGGAGAGGAAGCGAGCUCACAGGUUGCGACUCUUGGAAUUGCAAGUGGAAUUUGAUCGAACGCUUGGCGUGCAUAGUCAAGGUUGAAGAAGGAGGUCCACUUACUCCGGGUGUGUGCACUAUGUGUAGUAGGUGGGGUUUGGGUGGAGUGAGGAGGCUGAACGAUUUGCAAAGCUCCAACGUCAUGUAGAGAUCGUCACUGCCGGUGUUGAAGGCACCUGGGAAGAUGCCGCGACUUUCUUCGUCCACUUGGGGCUUUUAAACAGCGCCAUAUCGAUUGGAAUAGAGGACGUAGUUGGUAGCGUCUGGAGGGAAAUGACCGAUGACAGCGUCUCUGGAUAUCAUCGAUGCUCAAAAACCGACCAGAAUUACUAGAUGUGCACCGAGUCAGGAUCCGAAGAACCUUCCUCUUCGGCUUGUACUAGCAGCUUUUGGAAGAUGGGCCAGGGCCUGAUUUGGACAAUAGGCUUGGGCCUGGUCAUUGCCACUUGGGUUUGGACGACCUCCUUCUAAUGGGCUGGCUGGAUAGAUGACAUAUAUAUAUAUUAUUUCUUUUUCCUUUCUUUUCUUUUUCCUUUCUUUUGUUUUUGUUUUUUUGUUUUUUUGUUUUUUUUUGUUUUUUUUUGUUUUUUUUUGUUUUUUUGUUUUUUUUGUUUUUUUUUGUUUUUUUUGUUUUUUUUUGUUUUUUUUUUUUGUAAAUACAUAAUAACAUAUGUAUUUAUUUAUUUUUUUGUAAUAAAAUUGACUUUCUUUAAUAAAACAUUUAUUUUUUAUUUUGAUAUGACUGAACUCGAAAUUAAAUGUUCAAGCCGCCUACGUACCCUUCCAAAGAAGAGAUCAAGUCAUAACGUAGUUCAAAUACUUUUUUUUUUGUGCCGUACGCAGUUUCAACUCGUGCAGGCAAGGAGCUUUUGGUGCCGUUUGCAGUUUCAACUCGUGCAGGCAAGGAGCGUUUGUUGGUUCGUCAAGCGAUCUGGGAGAGUCUUUCCUCCCAAUCUUCAUAGCAAAGAGCCUUGACUGAGUAGUUGAAGAUGUCUUCUGGGAAGAUGUCAUGCAUCGUGAUGGGGAUGGAUGAUCUUCGUGUCAAAGUUUCAUUAUCUCCAACACUUUCACAUUGUUCUGAAGGUUGACAGGAGCUGCUUUGCCCCCUUUCCCAUUGGUGAACUUGUGGAAUAUAUGGUUGCUGCCUGAAGAGGCGUUCCUCGCAAUCUUUAUAGCAAGGAGCCUUGACUGAGUAGCUGAAUAAUUUUCUGAGGAAGGAGAGAUCGCGCAUGGUCGAUCUUUGUGUCGAAAUUUCCUCAUCUUCAACACUUUCACAUUGCUUUGGAGGUUGCGAAAGUUGCUUUGCCCUCUUUCCGAUGGAUGAACUUGUGGAAAAGUCAUAUGCUUCUUGUGCAGUUUCUUCGGAGUGACAUGAGUCCAUCCUUCAACUUCACUUGGCUUGACUGGCAUGGUUUUGGAACAUGCCCCCAGCGAUUGAGGUGAAGAUUUUGAGUUGACAAAGCCGGAAGUGACGUUUUCUAUCCCGUCUUCUUUGUCUUCUUGGGCCUCCUUUUCAGUGUGGUCCUCUUGGGUUUGUUGGCGUGAAGAUUGGCCGGUGUAGAUGAUGGUGCACCUCCUUACCUUCAGUGGUCCUUUUGUGUCGACCUCCAAAGCUGCUUGGCGCUUCAUCCUUGAAGGAAUCAAGCUUUGAACAUCGUCUUUUCCUGCUAGAAUGUCGAGCUUUUCUUCCUUUGGUGUUGUCUUCCUGUUUCUAGAAGGCUUCUUAGUUUCUUCAAGUAUGUCCGCAGCCGACCGUUGCGGAGGAGAUCUAGCUAUGCCGCUUUGUUUCUUGGGUUUUGAUAACCUUUCAAAGACAGAUCUUUGCAAUGUUGGCAUCCUAAGCCUUUUGAAGAUGGAAGUUCGGUCUCGACCACUGAUGCGAUCAAGUGUCGAAAUUCUAGGUUUUGAAUGAUUCAGCCUGUUGAAGACUGAAGUUCGAGGGGCGGGUUUAGGUUCUUCUUUUGGCCUUGUGGCUUGUGGUCUUGGCUUCCUUGUUUUUUUGUAAGUCGCUGAUGUCCACCAUUCCUUAUCACCAGUAAAUGCAUCUUGGUUGCUUGCCCCCGGUGAUGGUUGUGUAGGAGGUGCCGUGUGACUUGAACAUUGACAGGAAUGGUCAUGUAUGCUUCGGAGAUGCACAAGAUCGAGUGAUCCAAACACGAUAGUAGUAGUGUGUGCCGCAUCGAGUGAUCCAAACACGAUAGUAGUAGUGUGUGCCGCAACUGUGUCUUCGAGGUCAAGCUCGAUUUUCCUUUGUUAUGCUAGCUUCAGGAUGAGAUCUUUCAGUACAAAACACUUUUCCGUUAGAUGACUGAUGAAACGGUGGAAUUUAUAGUACCUUGGACUAUCAGUAAGAUUCAUCUCUUCCGGCCGUCUGCACUCAGGUAGGUCGAUCACCUUUUUGUCAAACAAGUCUUUCAACAUGGCAACCACAUUAGAGUCGAGGAAUGGAUAAGUUUUCUCCUCGAGCUCCUUCAAAGUACGUAUAUGCAUCUCUUUCAACAUGGCUGAACUGCCGUUUGAAUCGGCAUCGGAAAGCAUGGAUUCGGAGUAUUUCCUUGGGCUUUCCCCCCUUGGUGCCCUUAGUGAGGCUAAGGUGAUCACAGGCUCGUGCUUUGGGUGCUCUUGUUCCCUUGGCAGAGUUGAUGCAGAGGUGAAAGAGGCGGCAGAAGCAGCUCUUGCAUUGCUUCGAGUCGUGAUGCGCAAAGUGACACCACUUGAGACGAGGACGCUCUUGUUAUUUGCGCCGAUUGCGGGAACAGUUUGAGCCUUCCUUGAUGCCAUUGAUUUUGGAAGUGUGCUUGAAUUUCUUGAACGGAGAAAGAGAUGAGAGGUAGAGAUGAUCCCACCGGGCGUGCCAAAUUUUUAAACACGAAAAUUUCUUGAAACGAAGGAGACAAGAACACGUGUACAAAAUAAUAUUUUGUAUUUGAUGAUUUUGGGUUACAAUCUCUUUCAAAUUUGAUCAUCUGAUUCGAUCUUCGUAAGGUGUGUAUUUGUGGAUGUGCGAUUGAUCCAAGGGCCGUCGAGGCUUGAUCUUGGAUGAACGGUUGAAAGUUUCUUCUGUUGGAAAUGUGCCCUAAAACCAAUCAUAUGAUGAUACUUUACGGACAUUUCACAUGUUAAACUAAUCUAGUUUAAUAUCAAGGGCAAAGAUUAUUGUUUGAGCCGUCUCAUAUAAAUGUUAUACGCUUAAACGAUAAGUCCAAGGAAUAUGUGAUUGGGAGAAUGCGAUCUAAAGAAGUUAGAUUCAUGAGACCAUUCUUUCGUAGACACAUCCUAAACGUUCCUGAUCAUAGGAUUGCCAAUUGGGCAUUGACAGUCCGUUAAGAUCAGUACGUGUUGUGUCUUCUCUUAGGGAUAGUGACUAGUCUCGAGUCAUUGGUGUGUGUGACAUCAAGACAAGCAUGUAGGUACUCAAUAAUGAAUGAGUCCACUGAACACGAUCAACGAGGAGUUCUCAUACUCAUGUCACAUGAGAACUCAUAGUUGGGAUAAUGCAAAGUAGUCAUUUGACCUGAGGCAUCAUAGUUGUCUUGUGGUUAAGUCCUUGAUCUUUGAUUAUGUCAAAGUCACUCCAUCAUGAGGGUGUCCACGGCAUCGUCGGGGUUAAGCCACUUAGCCAUGGAGGCAAGUGAAUGUGCAACAAGGGAUCUCUAACCUUCAAACCGUUUGGGGGAGAAUACUCUAUGAUAUGAUUAAGAAUCUCUAGCCAGAGUAUGAAUGAGAUUUAGGAAGUCGUUCCAAAUCACAUUCAAGGUAAUCAUAUAAGCACACAAAUCACAUUGGAUAGUAGACAUGAAUAAACUAUCAAACCAAACAAUGUGGUCAAGAGUAUUGUAUUAGAGAAAGACCGUAUUGCAUUUGUAAUCCGAAACUGAAUAGGUUCUCCACCUCUUCUGAUUAGCUUGGGUAGCCAUGAUAUGCUGCUAGGUGUCACUCAUGGUUUGUGGAAGCCCUAAACGUGUAUAAUCACUAAAGGGAGAAUUGAAAGUAAGUUUCAAUUCACAAUCGAUUUGAAAGAGUUCUAAUCUCUCACUGCCUCGCUAAAAAGAACCUAAUGGAUCGUACACCGUGUAAGGUAGAGAUUGAAGAAACAAAGGAGAUGAGUAAGAAUAAUUAAAUGGUUUGAUUAUUUAUUUAUGGCAAGGAUUAAUUAAUAUGUUAAUUAAUCAAACGAAUAAAGUUCAUUAAAAGAUCACGGGUUAGUUUUGGGCCUCAAGGCCCAAUGGGCUUCGAACGUCAAGCCAUUAACUUAAGUUGUAUGACAACUUAAUUCACAAAGGCCCAAAAAGCCCAAUAGAACCCUAUGGCCGGCCAUUUAGAGGAAGGGUAGUGAACUUGCUUUAAUUACAAGUUUGCCACUCCAAUGAAUAAAGGUAUAAAUAUGACUUUAUAGCCAAAAUUCAUUUAGGGUUUCUUUUAGAGAAUUGGAGAGAACAUAUCUCUCCCUUUUCUCUCUAAGAGGUCGGCCACCCUUGGAGGGAUUAACUAGUAAUCUUUCUCCUCCAAGGUCACUCAUCUCUUCUUCACAUCUUACCUUGGUGUGGAGACUUAGAGGUUCUCUAUUUUGAGAACUUGGAGAAACAUAUUCUUCCAUCCAAAUCCAUGGAUCUAAGAAGCAAGGAAUGAAGGCCCUCUCAUUGGGUGAUUAGCCUUUGCUUAUGCAAAGAGGAAUCUACAAAGGUAUAAAUUUCUCAACUCACUUUGAUUUGAGUUGAGUCUUGGUUCACCAAUCUACUAGGCUUUGAAUUUCAUGGUUAAUGUUUUGUUUUUAAGUGCAUACAAGCAUGAUUCCGCCUUUUAAUUGUUAAUUGCAUGCUAUAGAUGUUGCUUAAAUGAACAUGUUUUUCACAAAAUUUCCUUCAUCUUCAAGGGCCGUUGAGGCUUGAUCUUGAAUGGCGGUGAUGAACAGAUCUUCAAGGGCUUUUGAGGAUUGAUCUUGAUGAACAGUUGAUGGAUGGAUCUUCAAGGGCUUUUGGGCUUGAUCUUGAAUAACGGUGAUGAACGGACCUUCAAGGGCUUUUGGGUUUUGAUCUUGAAGGACGGUUGGAUGUGUGGAUUUGUCGACGUUGUUGAUCCAAAGGGCCGUUGGGGCUUGAUCUUGAAGGUUAGGUUGACGAAGAAUGAAGAGAGCUUUCUUGAUCAUUCGGGAUUUGCUUGGGAGCUUUGGAGUUUCAAAGUUUCAAGGUUUUGGCGUCAGGUGAAUUGGUUAUGAAUUGGUUCUUUUUCUCCCUUCAAAUGAAUGAAUUAGCCUUCUAUUUAUAGAAAUUUCCAGGGCUUAAUUUUGAAUAUAAUAUUCCAGAUGAAAUAAGUCGUUUCUGCCAUGUGUUGACAUGUGUCCUAUUUGAUGACUUUUCCGACUCUUUUCGAUUUUUCGUUUAGUCUACGUGUAAAAUUUAUGUGACACGUGAGCGUUGAAAUUGUAACUAUUGGUCAACAUUUAUUUCACCAAAAUUUCGAUGUCUACAAUAAUUCUUGAAAAAAUAAUUUUACAGUAACAAUCACAUAUGGUUGUAGGUCGGAGAAAAUUGCAAAGGCAUAGAGAAGGAUUUUGAUGACAAAUUUACCUAGCUAACGAAUUUCAGAAAAAAUUACAAAAAAAAAUUCAUUAGUUCUACAAGAUUUGGGGGUUAAAAUGUGAACGAUGAGAGGUUCCAUGUCGAGAGGCAUAGCUGAUGCGACCUAUAGAGGAAGUGAAAUGGAUAAAAGUUAAAGUUUGAGUAAGAACAAAGAUAAGUGGUGGGAUCCAAAAUUCUAAUUAUCUUUAAUUCUCUCAUGCAUUGCUUAUACAUUUCAAUUAAAAACUCAAAAAUAUGAUAUAUAUUUUUAGUCGCAUAUUGACAAAGUAAGUAAAUAAGAAAAAACACCUCACAGUUUUAUAUAAAAGCACUCCAAAAUUUCGAGGGGAAACAUCUAGUUGUAAGCCGGGGUUUUUUGGUUCCCUUUUCUCAAAUCAAAUGUUGUGUCACCAAUAAAAAUAAGCACGUUAAUCAACCCUUAAAUAAUAAUCCAAUCUUUAACUUCCAUGUCAUUUAGUUUACCAUAUUUUGUCUACAAAUUUAAUCUUCUUAACAUUACCCUUUCUAAAUUAUUAAAUUUGGUGUGCUUUUCUAAGUGUUAUUUUAUCGAAAUCUUACCUAUGAAAACAAAUAAUUUUUAUUAUAUGGAGUUUAGGGUAUAUUUUUUUACGUUGCCUUGGGCCUCAAAAAUCUCAAGACCGGCCCUGAUAUACAAUGAAUACCAUCCUCUUAUUCUAGUAAAAGCACUCAUUUUCUUUGCUCAGCGAUCAUUUUCUAGUCAAAGCAUAUAUAAUUAAAAGAAAACUUAGGUCACAGACACUUUUGGAAAUUUGGGGAUGCAAUUUUCAAGGGAGGCAGAUUGUCUGCUCUUUUGGUGCCCUUUCCAUCCCCUCCUAUUUAUAUGGUCAUGGUUAAGCCACGGCAACAUUUUAUAUUAAUUUUUUAAUAGAGAUAAUAGGACAAAAAAUAAUAAAAAUAUAAAAUGUUGAUGUAACUUAACCGUGACAGUAUAAAUAGAUGGGGAUGAGAAGGGCACCAUAACAGGAGGACAGACAAUCUCUGCCCUCCCACCAUUUUCAAGACGCCCAAAUCCUGUUUAUGGAAAUAUCCCUUCCAUUUUUCAAUUGGAUGGUUUUUUAAGGGUUUUUAUAUUAACACCUCGCAAAAUGUUGAAUGCACCCCACAUUAAAAUUUAAUAUUAAAUGACUUAUUUACUCUACUAUGUAAUGAAAAUUUUGACCUUAUUAGAUAUAAAAAAAAUAAAGAUUUAUAAAUACACCCCAAAUCACUUUUAAUGUAUUAUUUAUCUUCUCAACUAUCAAACAUGUUGAUUAAGAAAAAUUGUUUUUGACGAAUGGAACACGAAAUCGAUGUUUCAGGAGCUUCACAUGAGGUAAGACUUCAUAGUUUUCAUUGUUUUAGUGAUUUCAAUGACAUCAAUAAUGAUUUAAUCUUGCGUUUGUUGCAUUAUUUAAACUUCUAUAUUCAUAUUCAUCUUUUAGUGUUCAUAUGGUUAGAUUCAAUCCCUGAAAAUUAAUGAGUGUUAUAAGAUUUGAGAAAUGUGGGGUGUAAAGAAAAUGUGGGGUGUAUGUACAAAAUAUAAUAUGUAUAUUGAGAAUGUGGGGUGUGGGGGUAUUAUGGGAAAGUAAGUGGGUGUAUUAAGAUAAUUUUUAAGUGAAAAAGCAAAUGUGGGGUGUAUUAAGUUUAUGGGGUUUAUUCAACAAUUUGUGGGGUGUUAAUAUAAUUAGCCUUUUUUAAUUAAUAAAUCAAAAGAAAGAAGGUUAUGUGGAAGCUGAGACGGUUCUAACUUCCUUAUUAGAAAGACUGUUAGGGACGCUACAAGUGGAUGGAUGUAUGCAUGUGAGCACCCCCACCUCUUCUCCACUCCAAUUUUAACUUCUUCCACCCCAAUUGUUGGAGUGGCAUUAUCAUCACAUCACACCCUAUCUAUCUAUGUAGUAAGAAGCAUAGUCUAAAAUAUCUAUAAUAUUCCGAUAUUUCCAUCGAAAUUUUCGUGUUUUUGAACUACCGAUAUUUCCGAUAUCAUCGAUAUUUUAGACCUUGCUAAGUCACUCAUGUAUCUUACCAUGCAAUGUAUAAAGUGUAAAAUAUUGUACUAAUUCAUUAUAUAUAAAUGAUUAUGGUGUGCUUAAACUUCUUUCAUUAAUUACUACAUAUUUUCUACAUUCACAAUGUUUGCCAGCUCACUAUAUAAUCAACUUAAAUCAGUUAUAUCUAUCAUGAAAUGCAUUUCCUUCCAAUUUUUUGUGAUAAACUAAUAGAUAAUUGACUAAAUAAACAUCCUGCAAAGUUUCAAUAAAAAUUUCCAUGUUUUUCUUACAAUUUCAGUGGUUUUUAUUCAAUUUUUAUCGAUAUCGAUAAUAUCCUGAUAUUUUCAUUGAAAUUUUCGUGUUUUUGGAUUACUGAUAUUUCUAAUAUCAUCGAUAUUUUAUAUCUUAGUUCACCUGUGGUUUUUACGUUGAAAAAAAAUCAUAACAAUGGUGGUGAAGGUGUAUGGGCCUCUGUACGGCUCCCCAAAGCGUGUGCUGGUGUGCCUUGUUGAGAAAGAAAGAGGUCGACUUUGAGACAGUCUCCAUUGAUGUCCUCAAGGGAGAGCACAAACACCCUGAUUUCCUCAAGUUGCAGGUUGGCUAAUUAAUUACUUCUUAAUCCAAUUGUUUCUCAUUAGUGAUUGUUUUACUCAUAAACUAUGGAAAUUAUUAUAGGAGUUUUAACUAAACACUUCAGAUACUGUUCACUUUUAACGAAAAAUCACAUUUUUAGCAUUUUCUGGUACUAUUUACUACAUCUUUAUUUGUCAUUUUUCAUUAAAAUUAAAGUGUUUUUGAAUUUUUCGUUAGUUUUUCUAAUUAUUUAUGUGUAUGUUGAUUUUUGUAUUGGUUUGUUUUAAAUGCAGCCAUUUGGAUCAGUUCCUCUCAUUCAAGUUGGGGAUUAUAUAUACUCUAUAUGGUAUGCUGUGCCUUCUUGCUGGCACUUGAUUUUUUAAUUUUAUUGUUUAAUAUAAUACAAGUGAUAGUGGGGCAGGAAAAUAGAACUCGGAAUCUCAGUUGAAGCAAUGAAUAUUCUUAACUAACUGAGCGACAACUAUUUUGCAGCCAAAUUUUUUUAUCUUUUGAGAAUUCCCUUUUGUGGGUUUACUUCAGUUAGCAUCAGAUUCACACUACAAUACACUUGCUCAUUGGUUUCUUAACAUCACCAACCAUAGCGAAGCCACAGAGACGCAAGGAGGUACGAGAAUUCGUCCCUCUGAACCUGCACGGAAGGUGUUCAAUGAAAUUCCUGAACUGAUCACCAAUACAAUGAUCUAACAAGUUGCUUACUAAGAAUGUAAAGUUGCACAUCGGAAACCAGAGCAAAUAAAAUACAACACGUAAUUAAUGAUUCCACAACAAAUAGAACCGAAGAUAUUUUUUUAAUUUUUUUAAUUUUUAAUUUUUUGAGAUAAAACUCCACUGGUCCAUCUUUCUGAAAUCUUGCCAAUUGUUUGAUAAAUCGUCUUUGAUCUGUAGAAUCACGAGCAAUCAUAAGGUACUACGCAGAAAAGUAUAAGUCACAAGGGACUAAUUUACUGGGGAAGACAAUUGAGGAAAGAGGGCUUGUGGAACAAUGGCUGGAAGUUGAAGCGCACAACUUCCACCCACCUAGCUACAAUAUGGUCCUUCACAUUCUCUUUGCCUCAGUUUCGGGUUUUCCUUCAGACCCCAAGAUCAUACAAGAGAGUGAAGAAAAGCUGGGAAAAGUGCUGGACAUUUACGAGGAGCGGCUGUCGAAGAGCAAGUACUUGGCCGGUGAUUUCUUCAGCCUUGUUGAUCUUAGCCACCUUCCGCUCACUCAAUACUUGGUGGCUAAUAUGGGGAAGGAGUAUAUGAUCUGGGACAGAAAACAUGUCUCUGCAUGGUGGGAUGACAUUAGCAACAGACCAUCUUGGAAGAGGGUCCUCCAGUUUGGUGCCCCAUUUUAAGGUCGAUGUACCUUUGGAAGAAAAUGUGUGUACAACGGGUGUAUACAAUGGUUUUUCUCGUAGUGAUAACGUGUUGUGUAUAAAAAGUUAUUGUGAGAAGAAGGUUUUACUCUCUUGUACUUUAUAUAAACUUUUGUAACCUGGGGGUUGGGCAAAAUAAAUAAUCAGAACAACUUGUUGGAUUAGUGUGCUCUUUCCUUUAUCAUUUGCUUUAUGUCAUGGCUAUCUGCCGAUCUGUGGUCAUUUUUCUGUGUCAUCUUCCUUCUAUUUUCACUUGAUGAUCAACACUGCAAGGUCAAGCUCAUCUUUGAUGUUCGAACUUGUGAACUACAUAAUACUUCUCCAAAUUAGGGUUUAUCAAUAGUAAAAUAUGUGUGACUGUAACACUACUUGGCAGUGUGAAGUCGCACUGAGAAGAUUAAAUAAAUAAAUACAUGUGUUAUAGUAUGUAAAAUUGUAACACCACGUAACAAUAUAACAGUUACUUAUAAAGAUUAAGUACAUAAAUACACUUGUAUAAUAUGAAUUAAAAAGAUCAAGUACAUAAAUACAUGUGUAUAAUAUAAAUAUUAUUCAUGUAAGUGUCUCACGUGAGUGGCUAUAAAGGAGACAGUUGUUCAUCAUAUGAAUACAAAACAAGGCAGAUAGAUAUCCACAACUUCAAUGCAUUUCAGAUGCUUUCUCAUCACAUUUGGUACCUUUUACUCGUCUUAUGUCAUGCCCUCCAUUUUAUAUGAAUUAUUUAUAAAAAAUUGUUAUUGACAACGGUAAGACCUUUAUUUUAUUUUUUUAAUUUUUUUAUAUUUAGUUAUGAGGAGUGCAUAAUAGAUUUUUAGAGUAUCAAUAAGAAUUAUUUUAUAUGUACAUAAUUGUCUUUCCCUUGCUAUCUUAGAGCUUCACCAAAAUAAAUGUCAAAAUGUCCAAAUUAGUAUUAAUAGUCAAAAGAUAGCAACAAUUUUCCAAUGGAAAAACCAUAUCUGAUGUGGCAUGACAUAAAUUAGCAACUAUCACCCUUGUUGCCCAAAUUAACAGCAACUUCAAAUCAUUUUUUAAUUAAUUAUUGAUUGCAUUUUAUUAAGUUUAUUAUUGUUUUUUCUUUCAAAACAUUUAUUAUAAUAUUUUAAUAUAAUAAAAUAAUAGCUUAAUUGACACAUCGGGUGAAGAGAAAAACUAAAAUAUGUCAAACUACGACAUUGACUGUCAAAUUUAAAUUUUAUAUUUAAAAUUGGAUAAAUUACAUUUUACCCCCUCAAGUUGAGGUUAACAAAUUUGUUGGAAUUUUGGAUUGACAGGCCGGGCCGCCCCACUCUAACAACACCAAUAUUGUCCCACAACUUGGUAAUUACCACAUGUCCAAUCCGUCAUGUGUGCAGAUUAGGUUUAUUAAUUAGAGUGAGGUAAUCAUAUUUAAGCUCAUUAUUUCCCUUUCUCCCACAUGUGGAUGCAAAUUUCUUCCUCCUUGAUCUUGGACAAUUUUGCACCUACAAAACAAUUAACACCUUAGGUUAAGGCCAAGAGCCUUACGUGCCCACGAUGAAUGGGGGGGGGCGUUGGCCGAAGAACCUCCGAUGCCAAAGUUAGAAUUUAGAGAGAAAGAGUGUUUAGAGAAUUUUGGGAUUUUUGCCAAAGUGUUGGAAUGAAUACAACAACAACAACAACAACAAAGCCUUUUCCCACUAAGUGGGGUCGGCUAUAUGAAUCCUAGAACGCCAUUGCGCUCGGUUUUGUGUCAUGUCCUCCGUUAGAUCCAAGUACUCUAAGCCUUUUCUUAGAGUCUCUUCCAAAGUUUUCCUAGGUCUUCCUCUACCCCUUCGGCCCAGAACCUCUGUCCCGUAGUCACAUCUUCGAACCGGAGCGUCAGUCGGCCUUCUUUGCACAUGUCCAAAUCACCGGAACCGAUUUUCUCUCAUCUUUCCUUCAAUUUCGGCUACUCCUACUUUACCUCGGAUAUCCUCAUUCUCAAUCUUAUCCUUUCUCGUGUGCCCACACAUCCCACGAAGCAUCCUCAUCUCCGCUACACCCAUUUUGUGUACGUGUUGAUGUUUCACCGCCCAACAUUCUGUGCCAUACAACAUCGCUGGCCUUAUUGCCGUCCUAUAAAAUUUUCCCUUGAGCUUCAGUGGCCUACGACGGUCACACAACACGCCGGAUGCACUCUUACACUUCAUCCAUCCAACUCGUAUUCUAUAGUUGAGAUCUCCAUCUAAUUCUCCGUUCUCUUGCAAGAUAGAUCCUAGGUAACGAAAACGGUCGCUUUUUGUGAUCUUCGCUAGAUUGCUCCGGUCAUUAGUGUGGAUAAGUAUAUAAAUGGAUAGAGAUAGGAAAGCAAACACAAGAUGUACGUGGUUCACCCAGAUUGGCUACGUCCACGGAAUAGAAGAGUUCUCAUUAAUUGUGAAGGGUUUACACAAGUACAUAGGUUUAAGCUCUCCUUUAGUGAGUACAAGUGAAUGAUUUAGUACAAAUGACAUUAGAGUACAAAUGACAUUAGAGUACAAAUGACAUUAGGAAAUAUUGUGGGAGAAUGAUCUCGUAAUCACGAAACCUCUAAGUAUCGGAGUGUGGUAUCAUCUUGACUUGCCUUAUCUGUCUCAUAGGUAGAUGUGGCAGCUUCUCUGGAAGUACUCUUCCUCCAUCCAGGGGUGGUAUCUUUAAUUGGUGGAGAUGCACAAGGUAAUGUAUCAAUUUCACUUGAAGCUUACUUGUAGUUUCAGGCUUGGUCAAGCGCGAUACAAACCAUGUAGUAGGAGUCCCCCACGUCGCCGAGCUAGGGGAUCUGCUGAAAGAGGUGACAGACAAGGUAAGCAAUCAGAGCUCCGGCUGAUUGUUCACCUUCUCCCCAUCUUGCAGCAGCAUGAAGGAUAAAGAGAAGAAAAAUGAGAAGAGAUGAUAUGGGAUACUUUUGCUUUUGAAGAAAUAGCUUUCCACAGGCUUAUUCUUGAACUGAGCUGGAGGGUUUUCUGGUUUCCUCCAGAGUAUAAGGCCGACUGAAGAAUUUGAGGGUCAAAACAAGUCCAUCAAAUCUAGAGUACGUUCGACCCUGCUGAUAUGGGAUACUUUUGCUUUUGACAGAGUAAUGGAUGUAUAGGCACGUGUGCUGUUACGUUUGUCUCCACAUGCUUCCUUGUAUCCUUCGCACUUGCCCUAUCUGUUCCUCAAGCAGAUGCGGUAUCUUCCCUGGAAACAUAAGAUGUUGAAGAUGAGUACUCGAGAGCAAUGCCAGGUAAGUAAUCAGGUAAGGGGUUCUAGGCAGUCAGUUCCUGAUUGGGAGCUUGAUUUCAAGUGCUGACUGAUUGCUCUCUUUCUCCUUGUCUUGCAGGUAAAAACAAGGCCAAAGGAAAAGACAGGGAAAAGCAUGAUAUGGGAUACUCUUGCUUUUAACCCUGAUGAUAUGAGAUAUUCUUGCUCUAGUAUAGCUUGUUUGCAGAGGUAUUAUCAGGGGGAAAGAAAGCUGAAUAUUUCGAAAGGCUUCGUUGGGAGUGCCCUCUUAGAUAUGAGGAAGGGUUAAGCAUUUUUGCAGGUCUGCCUGUUCGUUGGGGAUGAAGGUCGACAUAUAUAGAAGUCUCCCUAACAACAAGUAGUAAUGCUAUUCCUUUACCCUGCUUGGUCAUAGCACGGUAGUGGGAGCUGCCAGCUUCACAUGUUUUAACUCUGUCAGAGCACUUUGAAAAAGUGGCAUGUGGUAUCUGGCUCUCGAGAUUCGGAGAACGAUGCUUCUUCGAUUUUUGAGAAAGCAAUCAUGCUGGGGGUCUGGCUCUCGAGAUUCGGGGAGCAGUGUCUCUUCGAUUUUUGAGAAAGUAAUCAUGUUGGGAGUCUGGCUCUCGAGAUUCGGAGGGCGGUGCCUCUUCGAUUUUGGAGUAAGCAAUCUUGUUGGGAGUGUUUUCUCGGAUGUGAGUAAAGGUUCGGCAUGUUUACUAGUCUACCUUGCCACGAAGCACGGAGGUUGACACACAGGGACUUUCCAAUUAUCCAGCAGUGGUACUGUUCCUUUACCCUUAUGGGUAAUAAUAUGGUAGCUAGACCUUCAAAAUUUAUGUGUCUAAACUUUGUUAGUGCUGUUCUUUUGCUAUUCUUUUACCUUUCUUGGUCAGAGCGAUAUAGUGGGAGCUGCAAGCUUCACGUGCUCAACUUUGGCAGAGACUUUGGCAAAGUUAUCUGUGGUACCCAUGAGCUAUUGUUGCGUGUGGGAAGUGGGUGAUUGAACAGUAAGAUUCAUGUGUUUUCGACUUCACCAGAAGUCUUCGACAGAAUGCCCAUAAUUUCCGCAAAGCUGAGUGUGCGUGUGACAGGUGCUGACAAGGCUAGAAAAGUAGGUGCCUCUUCGAUUUCUGAGAUCGGCCCUCGUGAUCUCUGAGCAGCCCAGCUUUUGAGAAAGCGAGCGCCUCUUCGAUUGAUUCGGAGAACGAUGCCUCUUCGAUUUUUGAGAAAGCAAUCAUGCUGGGGGUCUGGCUCUCGAGAUUCGGGGAGCAGUGUCUCUUCGAUUUUUGAGAAAGUAAUCAUGUUGGGAGUCUGGCUCUCGAGAUUCGGAGGGCGGUGCCUCUUCGAUUUUGGAGCAAGCAAUCUUGUUGGAAGUGUUUUCUCGAAUGUGAGUAAAGGUUGGGCAUGUUUGCUAGUCUACCUUGCCACGAAGCACAGAGGUUGACAUACAGGGACUUUCCAAUUAUCCAGCAAUGGUACUGUUCAUUUACCCUCUCUUCGAUUUUUGAGAAAGUAGUCAUGUUGAGAGUCUGGCUCUCGAGAUUCGGAGGACGGUGCCUCUUCGAUUUUGGAGCAAGCAAUCUUAUUGGGAGUGUUUUCUCGAAAAUGUGAGUAAAGGUUCGGCAUGUUUGCUAGUCUACCUUGCCACAAGGCACAGAGGUUGACACACAGGGACUUUCCAAUUAUCCAGCAGUGGUACUGUUCCUUUACCCUUGUGGGUAAUAAUAUGGUAGCUAGACCUUCAAAAUUUAUGGGUCUAAACUUUGUUAGUGCUGUUUCUUUGCUAUUCUUUUACCCUUCUUGGUCAGAGCGAUGUAGUGGGAGCUGCAAGCUUCACGUGCUCAACUUUGGCAGAGAACUUUGGCAAAGUUAUCUGUGGUACCCAUGAGCUAUUGUUGCGUGUGGGAAGUGGGUGAUUGGACAGUAAGAUUCAUGUGUUUUCUACUUCCCCAGAAGUUUUCGACAGAAUACCCAUAAUUUCCGCAAAGCUGAGUGUGUGUGUGACAGGUGCUGACAAGGCUGGAAAAGUAGGUGCCUCUUCGAUUUCUGAGAUCGGCCCUCGUGGUCUCUGAGAAGCCCAGCUUUUGAGAAAGCGAGCGCCUCUUCGAUUUCUGAGAUCGGCUUUCAUGGUCUUUGAGCAGCCCAACUUUUGAGAAAGCAAACACCUCUUCGAUUUAUGAGAUCACCCUCGUGGUCUCUAAGCAGCCCAGCUUUUGAGAAAGCAAACGCCUCUUCGAUUUCUGAGCAGACGCCUCUUCGAUGUCUGAAGCUCCGUCGAGUGCAGCUUUUUAUAGGGGCUAGCAUUAAGUUCCAAAGCACACUUGAAUCUCCACCAGUAGAAGCUCCAUUCUUGCACUUCUAAGAUCUUGAUUUGUCCGACUUCUUCUCUCUUCAACACCUUUGAAAAUGUCUGGCCCCUCCGACCGUCGUUUUGACUUGAACCUUGUUGAAGAGGCAGCCCCGCCUUCUCCAGACAACAUAUGGCGCCCAUCCUUCGUCUCCCCUACUGGUCCUCUUACCAUUGGGGAUUCCGUGAUGAAGAAUGAUAUGACCGCGGCGGUGGUGGCCAGGAACCUUCUCACUCCCAAAGAUAACAGACUACUUUCCAAACGGUCUGAUGAGUUAGCUGUUAAGGAUUCGCUGGCUCUCAGUGUUCAGUGUGCAGGUUCUGUGUCUAAUAUGGCCCAACGCCUAUUUGCUCGAACCCGCCAAGUUGAAUCAUUGGCGGCCGAAGUGAUGAGUCUCAAACAGGAGAUUAGAGGGCUCAAGCAUGAGAAUAAACAGUUGCACCGACUCGCACAUGACUAUGCUACAAACAUGAAGAGGAAGCUUGACCAGAUGAAGGAAACUGAUGAUGGUCAGGUUUUACUUGAUCAUCAGAGAUUUGUGGGUUUGUUCCAAAGGCAUUUAUUGCCUUCGUCUUCUGGGGCUGUACCGCGUAAUGAAGCUCCAAAUGAUCAACCUCUGAUGCCUCCUCCUUCUAGGGUUCUGUCCAAUACUGAGGCUUCGAAUGAUCCCCCUUCGAUGCCUUCUCUUUCUGGGGCUCUACCGACUGCUGAGACUUCUCCUAAGCAACCUUUGUGAAGGCUCCAUCUUGUUUGUUUAUUUUGACUCAUGUAUAUGUACAUAUUUGUAGCUUAUCGGGGAUAUCAAUAAAUAAGUUUUCCUUCAUUUCAACGUAUUGUGUUAAAUACACCAAAGCCUUCUUCGCUAAGUUCUUUGAUUUUUUUUUUUUUGUUGAAGCUUGUAUGUUGAAGCUUUCUGAGUGGAGCAUGUAGGUUGGGGUAGUGUUCCCUUAAUUUUCCGAGUGAGGAAAACUUCUCGGUUGGAGACUUGGAAAAUCCAAGUCACUGAGUAGGAUCGGCUAUAUGAAUCUUAUAACGCCAUUGUGCUCGGUCCUGUGUCAUGUCUUUCGUUAGAUCCAAGUACUCUAAGUCUUUUCUUAGAGUCUCUUCCAAAGUUUUCCUAGGUCUUCCUCUACCCCUUCGGCCCUGAACCUCUGUCCCAUAGUCGCAUCUUCUAAUCGGAGCGUCAGUAGGCCUUCUUUGCAUAUGUCCAAACCACCGUAACCGAUUUUCUCUCAUCUUUCCUUCAAUUUCGGCUACUCCUACUUUACCCCGGAUAUCCUCAUUCCUAAUCUUAUCCUUUCUCGUGUGCCCACACAUCCAACGAAGCAUCCUCAUCUCCGCUACACCUAUUUUGUGUACGUGUUGAUGCUUCACCGCCCAACAUUCUGUGCCAUACAGCAUCGCCGGCCUUAUUGCCGUCCUAUAAAUUUUCCCUUGAGCUUCAGUGGCAUACGGCGGUCACACAACACACCAGAUGCACUCUUCCACUUCAUCCAUCCAGCUUGUAUUCUAUGGUUGAGAUCUCCAUCUAAUUCUCCGUUCUUUUGCAAGAUAGAUCCUAGGUAACGAAAACGGUCGCUCUUUGGUAUUUCUUGAUCUCCGAUUCUCACCCCUACCUCGUUUUGGCCUCCAUUUGCACUGAACUUGCACUCCAUAUAUUCUGUCUUUGAUCGGCUUAGGCGAAGACCUUUAGAUUCCAACACUUCUCUCCAAAGGUUAAGCUUUGCAUUUACCCCUUCCUGAGUUUCAUCUAUCAACACUAUAUCGUCUGCGAAAAGCAUACACCAAGGAAUAUCAUCUUGAAUAUGUCCUGUUAACUCAUCCAUUACCAACGCAAAAAGGUAAGGACUUAAGGAUGAGCAUUGAUGUAAUCCUACAGUUAUGGGAAAGCUUUCGGUUUGUCCUUCAUGAGUUCUUACGGCAGUCUUUGCUCCUUCAUACAUAUCCUUUAUAGCUUGGAUAUAUGCUACUCGUACUCCUUUCUUCUCUAAAAUCCUCCAAAGAAUGUCUCUUGGGACCUUAUCAUACGCUUUUUCCAAAUCUAUAAAGACCAUGUGUAAAUCCUUUUUCCCAUCUCUAUAUCUUUCCAUCAAUCUUCGUAAGAGAUAGAUUGCCUCCAUGGUUGAGCGCCCUGGCAUGAACCCGAAUUGGUUGUCCGAAACCCGUGUCUCUUGCCUCAAUCUAUGCUCAAUGACUCUCUCCCAGAGCUUCAUUGUAUGACUCAUUAACUUAAUACCCCUAUAGUUCAUGCAAUUUUGUACGUCGCCCUUAUUCUUGUAGAUAGGCACCAAAGUGCUUGUUCGCCACUCAUUUGGCAUCUUCUUCUUUUCAAAAUCCUAUUGAAAAGGUCAGUGAGCCAUGUUAUACCUGUCUCUCCCAAAACUUUCCACACUUCGAUUGGUAUAUCGUCUGGGCCUAUUGCUUUUCUAUGCUUCAUCUUCUUCAAAGCUACAACCACUUCUUCCUUCCGGAUUCGACGAUAAAAAGAGUAGUUUCUACACUCUUCUGAGUUACUCAACUCCCCUAAAGAAGCACUCAUUUUAGGUCCUUCAUUGAAAAGAUUAUGAAAAUAACAUCUCCAUCUGUCUUUAACCGCGUUCUCUGUAGCAAGAACCUUUCCAUCCUCAUCCUUGAUGCACCUCACUUGGUUUAGGUCCCUUGUCUUCUUUUCCCUUGCUCUAGCUAGUUUAUAGAUAUCCAACUCUCAUUCUUUGGUAUCUAGUCGUUUAUACAUAUCGUCGUAAGCCGCUAACUUAGCUUCUCUGACAGCUUUCUUCGCCUCUUACUUCGCUUUUCUAUACCUUUCACCAUUUUCAUCGGUCCUAUCCUUGUUUGGGAAUUACCUUGUAGAUAGGAUUUGAUGAGAUGGACUUUGAAUUGUUACCUAUUUUGGGCACUUCUGUCUUGGUUGAAAGAGGGUUGCUCGCUGCUUGCGCGUAGGAACCUCGUUGUACUGCAAGGGUAUUUUUGUCAUUUUUGUCCAAAAAUUCACGUGUCGCCUUGUGAAUAUUUUUGGCUCCACACCACCGAUGUGGGAUAAUCAACAAAAGUAACCGUUGAAUAAUGACGUAAUAAUAAUGUGUUCCUCAUUUAUGCUAACGUGCCAACUUGUGCCACAUGACCAUUAAAUUAAAAAACUUUUCGACUAGAAAAAUGAUCUUCGAAAUGCAUCCUUUAAUCUCUGAAAAUAUAAUUUAUCCUUUAAAAUUUAGCAUCUCUUUUUGAAGAUGCUGCUAAGACAUAAGAAAACUACAAAUGGAUGGAUGUAUACAUGUGAGCAGCCCCACCCACCCUCCACUCCAAUUUUAAAUUCUUCCAUCCAAUUGUUGGAGUGCUAUAUAAUAAGAAGUAAAGAACCAGAAGCUGGAGUUUGCAGAUUUGAUCUAAAUCCUUCGGUUUUAACACUAAGAAGUCAUAACAUGGUGGUGAAGGUGUAUGGGCCUCUGUACGCCGCCCCAAAGCGUGUGCUGGUAUGCCUUGUUGAGAAAGAGGUUCACUUUGAGACAGUCCCCAUUGAUCUUCUCAAGGGAGAGAACAAACACCCUGAUUUCCUCAAGUUACAGGUUAGCUAAUUAGUUACCUCUUAAUGCAAUUGUUUCUGAUUAGUGAUUGUUUUACUCAUGGUAUGAAUUGAGAUGGUCUUUUGUAAAUACAUAAUUAUUUUGAGUAUAUUAAUUAUUUCUUUAUUUUCCAAUCGUCUGGAAAGGCCAAAAGAAACAUCUUAUUCUUUCUUCAACAAUUUCUGAUCUUUAGUGGACCUCUCAAUAGGAUUUAAACCCAGAUGAAGUUCUGAUCAUCUGUCAGAGAAAAAAGAACGAAUAAGUCUGUAAAUUAUUUACUUGUACAUUGAUUUUGUAUUGGUUUGUCUUUAAUUGCAGCCAUUUGGAACAGUUCCUCUCAUUCAAGAUGGGGAUUAUACUCUAUAUGGUAUGCUAUGCUUUCUUUCUAGCACUUGAUAUUUUAGUUUUUAUUGUUUAUUCUGAUACAAGUGAUAGUGCGGUAGGAAAAUCAAACUCGGAAUCUCAGUUGUAUCGAUGAAUAUUGUUAAUCAACUGAGCAACAACCAUUUUUACUAGCACAUGAUAGAUCUUAAUUUUUGGGGCCAAAAUUUAUCAUCUUUUGAGAAUUUCCUUAGCAUCAGAUUGACAUUACAAUACACUUGCUCACUGGUUUCUUAACAUCAUUGUUGUUUAAGAAUGUAAAGUUGCAUGUCGGAAACCUGACCGAAUAAAAUGCAACACGUAAGUAGCGAUUCCACUAAUAAUAGAAGGGAAUUUUAACGAAAAACUCCAUGUACUGUUCACUUUAACGAAAAACCACAUUUUUACACUAAAAAGUCAAUCCUGGUACUAUUCAUUUUACCCUUUAUUUUGUCCUUAUCGUUAAAACUCAAAAUUUUCAAGCUAUUUUCAUUAGUUUUCCUAAUAUAGGGGUACCAAAGUAUUUUGAGAUAAAACUGCAGUGGUAUGUCUUUCUGAAAUCUUACCAGUUUGAUAAAAUCGUCUUUGAUCUGCAGAAUCACGCGCAAUCAUGAGGUACUACGCAGAAAAAUAUAAGUCACAAGGGACUGAUUUGCUGGGAAAGACAAUUGAGGAAAGAGGGCUUGUAGAACAAUGGCUGGAAGUUGAAGCACACAACUUCCAGCCACCAAUCUACAACUUGGUCGUUCACAUUCUCUUUGCCCCAGUUUUGGGUUUUCCUUCAGACCCCAAGAUCUUACAAGAGAGUGAAGAAAAGCUGGGAAAAGUGCUGGACAUUUACGAGGAGCAGCUGUCGAAGAGCAAGUACUUGGCCGGUGAUUUCUUCAGCCUUGCUGAUAUUAGCCACCUUCCAUUCACUCACUUCUUGGUGGCUAAUAUGGGGAAGGAGUAUAUGAUCAAGGACAGAAAGCAUGUCUCUGCAUGGUGGGAUGACAUUAGCAACAGACCAUCUUGGAAGAGGGUCCUACAGUUUGGUGACCCAUUUUAAGGUCGAUACCUUGUAAGAAAAAUUGUGUACUAAGGGUGUCUAUAAUUAUUUUUCUCGCAGUGAUACGUGUUGUGUGUGAAAAAUUAUUGUGUGAAGAACGUUAAAUUCUCGUGUAACGUUAUAUUCUCUUAUAGUUUAUAAAACUAUUGUACCCUGGAGUUGGGCAAAAUAAAUAAUCAGAACAGCUUGUUGGAAUAAUGUGCUAUCUCCUUGAUCAUUUGCUUUAUGUCAUGGCUUGUGAGAUGUUUUUUAUUUCUCUGUAAGGCUCACAAUCGACCUUCC
This 64525-nucleotide long non-coding RNA is filed under the name Malus domestica (apple). RNAcentral describes it as "long non-coding RNA (MDOM_LNC017365)". The record is from RNAcentral. Lineage: Eukaryota; Viridiplantae; Streptophyta; Magnoliopsida; Rosales; Rosaceae.